CCAAGACUUCAGCCAACCCAUCUAUAAAACAUGGGAACAACACACCGCGGUCUUUGAAUUGGAAAAGAAUCUCAGCAAAAAAGGCGGGUAGAAACUAUUGGUGAAGAAUCACAAUCCACAGGCUCAAUCGACCGGCUUCCUGGAGUAAAGGCAAUGAGAAGGCAAGUCACAGGCUCAUCCUGAAUCAGAUUUUCGGGACAAAUGCGGCUAGGGCAUUUGCAUAAGCAGGGGAGAGGUUACUCAAAAGGGGCCGCAUCUAUUGGCCAUAGAAUGAAAUCAGUUGAGAAAAAACUCUUCCGAUUUGUGCUUUUACUUAGGAGUUUCAACUGGUGAUGCCACAACGUGAGCAAAUACAUUAACCAAAUCUGGGACUAGCAAAAGGAUCUGCUUGGAAAAUAGAAUGAAUCGGUAAGAAAACUUAUGGUCACCUCCAUAAAGAAAAUGGAUAAGAAAACAAGAAAAACAGAAAAGACCAAGUACGUUCACCUUCUAGGAUUACCCGAUACACAGGGAGCUUCCAUAGAGGGAUCCCACAUAGUUUGUAUGAUAUCCGUACACAUAUAUUAUAAAUGUGAAUGUGUGUGUGUGUGUGUAAAGCAUAGUUUGUAUGAUAUCCGUACACAUAUAUUAUAAAUGUGAAUGUGUGUGUGUGUGUGUGUGUGUGUAAAGCAGUGUGAGCUUUGAAGAUGAAAUCAAAGUUCAUAUCUAUAAGCACAAGAAUAUUCAACCUUCCCAAAUAAUCUACAUGGCCCAGAUUCAAUAUUUUGGUCCGGAAGUGGCAAUAAGUUGUUGGGAUCUAAUCCAUUGUCACUCGAACAUAAACCUGCAUGCUCAACCAUAUAUACCAAACACAUGCAGAAGAUGAUGCCAUGAUGGUGAAGGCCUUGAAGUUCACGCCCUUUGAUCAACACCCGUAUCGUUAUCGGAUAACUGCAUGUUUAAGGGUCGGUGAGGAGGGUUUCUGAAUUGGAUGAAUUAUUGGAGAGAAAUGGAGAGGUGUUGUGUCGGGUGGGGGUGGGUGGGUGAGGCAGAUGGGAAAAAAUAUUUGUAAUCUUUAAAUAUCAUUUGAUCCUCGCCCGGUGUGCUGAACAAGAUUCGUUCUUCUCCUGCCAAAUAGAGUGGGUCUGAGAAUAUAGUGGUCUCCCUAUUAUAAAAACUAGGGUUCUUUAGAUAUACGUCCAUGCAACACUUAUUUUCUUGACAAAAACCUAUUUGAUUUUAAACAUCCAAAUAAAACCCAAAUUUGAAGUAGACUGCCAUGUAAAGAAAUAAAUACUUAUUACUUUUAAACUAUUUACAAUUGUGCCAUAACACUCUAAUUAUGUUAAUGAAUUUAAUUAUCCACCAUAAUUGUGAAAAAUAAGUGCCUUAUUAUUAUAAAUAAAAUUAUCUACUUUAAACUUCUCUUAGACCAUCUCCAACCCUUGGGCUAAAAGCCAAAUUUUUUAGCCCGGAAAAUUUGGCUUUUAGCCCAGAAACAUCUUUUCUGCUCCAACCCUUCUGGCCUAAAAUUUUAGCCCGGAAUUAUUAAAGAAUGAACUUAGGCUAAUUUUUUUCUUAAAUCAAUAUUUUUUUUAAAAAUAAAUAUGUAGAUUAUUGUAAAUUAAUUUUAUGAACAUUUUAAUCUAAAAAAAUUUAAAUUCCGAUAAAUAUUGAAAAAUCAUUAAAUUUUUUACAAAGCAAACUACUUUCACCAACCUUUCAACUUUCACCAACCGUUCAUCUUUCACCAACCGUUCAACUCCAAACUUUCAACUUUCACCAACCAUUCAACACCAAACCUUCAACUUUCAACACCAAACUUUCAACUUUCACCAACCGUUCAACACAAAAUUUUCAACUUUCACCAACCGUUCAUCAAUCAUCCUCUAUAUAAACACAGGUCCAAUAUUAGUUGAUCACACAAUCUUUCAACCUUCAAUCAUCCUCUAUAUUCACCAAUCUUUCAACUUUCAAAGAGUUUUUUGUUUCCUAAAAAUUCUCAAUAUCUCAUCAAUGAGUGAUAGAAGAAGGCGUAGCAGGGCAAUGGAGAUGGCACAAUACCAAGCAAGGCUUGACAUUGAGGAUUUAGAACUGAUCAACGCCGAAGCUGAACUUGUAAACUCGUUUAUGCAAUAUGAGGACCAUGGCGAAUCUAGCCGUCAUGGUUCUCUCACGGGGCGUUCAUUCGUGCAGCGUGAUAGAGAAGAGUGUCAUGAGCAAAUGAUGAAAGAUUAUUUCAUUGAGCGGCCGAGAUUUCCUGCUCAUGAUUUUCGGAGGCGGUUUCGGAUGAGGAGAGAGCUUUUUGAAGGCAUCUUGAACGCAGUUGUCAAUCAUGACCACUACUUUGCAAGGAAGAUAGAUGUCGUAGGCCGACAAAGUCUAUCACCUCAUCAAAAGCUCACAUCUGCAUUUCGAAUGCUAGCUAAUGGGUGCUAUGCUGACUCAACUGACGAAUAUUGCCGACUUGCGGAGAGUACUGCUAUUGAGAACCUGAAGCGCUUUUGUCAAGCAAUUCAAGCCAUCUAUGGAGCCACAUACCUCCGCAAGCCAACUCGUGAAGACUUGAAAAGGCUUCUACGCAAGGCAGACAAAAGAGGCUUCCCUGGCAUGAUAGGAAGUCUCGAUUGUAUGCAUUGGGAGUGGAAGAAUUGUCCUACUGGUUGGGCUGGCCAAUUCAAGGGUCGUCAUAACAAGCCAACCAUCGUGCUGGAGGCUGUGGCAUCUUACGACACAUGGAUUUGGCAUGCAUUCUUCGGCUCACCCGGAUCAAACAACGAUAUCAACGUUCUUUGGUCUUCUCCUCUGUUCGAUGAGGUUGUGAAUGGAUGGGCACCAGAAUUUCGAUACAAGGUAAAUGGUAAUAUGUAUGAGCUAGGUUACUACCUAACUGAUGGUAUUUAUCCUAGUUGGUCUACCUUUGUCAAAAGUUUUUCUCAUCCCGAUAGUGCAAAGAAGAAAUUAUUUUCGCAGAGGCAAGAGUCUUACAGGAAAGAUGUGGAGAGAGCAUUCGGGAUCUUACAAGCUCGAUGGGCCAUUGUUAGAGGGCCUGCACGAUUUUGGCAACCCGAAGACCUCCAUUCAAUCAUGAUGACGUGCAUAAUUUUGCACAAUAUGAUUGUGGAAGAUGAGUACAUCGAAAUUGAAGAAGAUUCAGACGAAGAUGUGGAUGAUGACCAACCAACACAUGCGAGAGCUAUUGCAAGAGAUGUUGAAUAUCUCGCUCCAACCACAUAUGAGACCCGACAUGAUAGGGUCACCUUGGGGUGAGUAUAUGAGACGUUUAAAUAGAAUUCAAGCUCCUCAAAUUCAUGACACACUCCGCAAGGAUUUGGUUGAGCAUGUGUGGCGCCGAGAAGGUGAACGUUGAUGAUGUUGGUUGAGCAUUUAUGUAAUAAUUUUAAGUGUACUAUGUUGUUAUUUGUCUACUACGUUGAAUAAUUUAUUGAAUGGAGGUUGAAUUAUUGAAUGGAGGUUGAAUUAUUGAAUGGAGGUUGAAAUAAUAAGUACAAUAAUUAUUGAAGACAUUUAGAUUAAAUAGAAACAAUAAUAAUAAGACAUAAACUUAAUAAAGUACAUAAACCACAUAAUAAACAACAUAAACUUAAUACAAACGACAAUUAAUAAACUUAAUUAAUAAAGCACAUAAUUCAUACACUACAUAAACUUAACAAUCAUAUCCACCAUCUUCACUUGGUGAUGGACUUCGUUGAAAUGUUGGGAUAUAGGGUUCAGAGGAUUCAUCAUCUUGAAACAUACGCCUUGAGGCAGACUUUCGCAUAAUUUCCUUUUGCUUAUUACGUAAGAACUGCUUCCUCUCUGGAGUGUAUUUGCUGAGGUCCUUCAUCAUGAAUUCAAUUUCAAACCUAUUUUCCUCCCUAUCCGAGAUUUCCUUCAUUUGCAAACGCAAUCGGGCCGCUUCUUCUUGGCGAGCGCUAUGAGUUUCAUGCAAUUUUGCAAUUCCGAUAGCAAAGUCUCCACUCGGGGAAUCUUGGGACUUCCCUUUUCUCUUUGCUUCCUUUUGCUUAUCUCUUCCCGAGGGCCUUGCUAAAGAAGGAGAUGGGGUCAUUUCAUCGACACCUUCAUCGCCACCUUCAUUCAUUCUUGGUGCGGCUUCACGUUGAAAUAAUCUUCCCCAUUGUUGGUCUGCAUCGGUUGCCCACCUUGGACAAUCCUUGAGGACGUCCCAAGCAUGUUGCAACUUAAAAACUUGAUUUUUUGGUGUUACUCUUGUCUUGUAAAUUUCCAUUGCUUUGUCACCCUAUGCAAAAAAUACAUAAAAAUAAUUAGUUGCAAAAUAAUAUUAUGUACAUGACAAAUAAAUAUAUCAAGAAAAAAACUCACAAUUUCUAUGGCGCUCCUUCCACUAGGCAUGCCAACCAUGGCUCUCUCUAAGCUUCCCUUCCAUAAAGUGCAUGCUUUGUUGAUAGUCUUCCACCGAUCAUAAACACCACCACCGUCUCGCCCGCUGCCGUUGCAGUUUUCUUGAAACUUUGCAAUGAUUUUAUCCCACAAAACCUUUUUAUUUUGAUUUGUGCCAACUGCACCAUCUUCACUAACAGACACCCAUGCCAAGCAUAAAGAAACAUCUUCCUCAAAGGUCCAAUUACGACCUCUAACAUGCUCUCUUUGCCAUGUUGAACAAUUUGGAAAUGGAAAGAAAUGAUAGAAAGAUAAAUUGGAAGAAUUGUAGGAGAAAAUUGAAUUUUGUGUGGAUGUUUGAACAAAUAGAUAGGUAUUUAUAGAUUUUUUGGGUAAAUUUUGUGUUAAAUAAAUUUAUUUAAUUAUUUUAGCCGUUGGAUUUAAAUUUGGGCCGUUAGAUCUUUUUUUUACCGUUAGAUUUGAGUAUAUUCAAUCUCAACCGUUAGAUUCAAUGUAUUUUAAAAUAAUAUAUUUUUUAAAAAUAAAGUUUGAAUCUGGACCGUUGGAUCAACCAACGGUCCUUAAAUCCUGCCCGUUUGAUUUCGAAAAGAGCCGUUGGGGCUCUGAAGAGUGGCCGACAAGGCCUGACGGUGGGACCCCCUCUUGUCGGGCUCCGGUUGCAAGCUGUGGGCGUGGGGCGCGUGUGCGAGUCCACGGGCCGAGAGUGGCCCAAAACUGGGCGAGUCCACGCGGCUGGGGGGGGAAUUUGGGGGGGAAUUUGGCCCAAUUUUAGCAUUCCCCUUUUAGCCCAAUAUUUUAGCUUGGGUUGGGGGGUGUUUGGGGGGAAUUUUGGGCUAAAUAUUUGGCAUUUAGCCCAGGGUUGGAGUAGGUCUUACCAUCAUAUAUUUCAUUUCUUUUAUUUGUUUGACAAUCAUUGUGACAUCCCACAUCACCAGGGGAGUGAUCCUUAAAUGUAUAUUCCCAUCCAUACCUAGCACGAGGCUUUUUGGGAGCUCACUGGCUUCGGGUUCCAUCGGAACUCCUAAGUUAAGCGAGUAGCGCGCGAGAGCAAUCCUAUGAUGGGUGACCCACUGGGAAGUUCUCGUGUGAGUUCCCAGAAACAAAACCGUGAGGGCGUAGUCGGGGCCCAAAGCGGACAAUAUCGUGCUAUGGUGGUGGAGCGGGCCCGGGAUGUGACAAUCAUUGUAGGUAAAUUAUUUUGCAUGUAUGUAUUAGGCACAUUUUGUUAAAAUGAUAUAUAUGUGUACAAAUAAUUUAUCUAUAUUUUUAUGUAAAAUAAUAUGUAAUUAAUUAAUUUGAAUCAAUUGGCAAAAAAACAUUUAUUUAUUUUGUAGGUAAAUUAUUUUUCAUGUGAUAUUACAUAUGUACUAGCUACAUUUUGUUAUUAUUAUAUAGAGUGUGUAUCAGAGCCUAACCCUGACUGUGGUGUGCCAACGAGGACGUCGGGCCCAUAAGGGGGGUGGAUUGUAACAUCCCACAUCGCCUAGGGAGUGAUCCUUAUAUGUAUAUUCCCAUCUCUACCUAGCACGAGGCCUUUUGGGAGCUCACUAGCUUCGGGUUCUAUCGGAACUUUGAAGUUAAGCGAGUAGCGCACGAGAGCACUCCCAUGAUGGGUGACCCACUGGGAAGUUCUUGUGUAAGUUCCCAGAAACAAAACCGUGAGGGCGUGGUUGGGGCCCAAAGCGGACAAUAUCGUGUUACAGUGGAGUCGAGCCCGGGAUGUGGUGAGGGCCCCGGGCCGGGAUGUGACAGUGUGCAAUCAAUCGACAUUCUUUUAUUUUGUAGGUAAAUUAUUUUGCAUGUAGGUAAAUUGUUUUAUAUAUUUUUUUGCAAAAUAUUGGUAUUUAAUUAAUUUUGAAUAAAAAAUAUUUAUUUAUUUUGUAGGUAAAUUAUUUACAUAUAUCAUUACAUAAUUUACUAGGAACUUAUAUUGUUAUAUAUGUUGUGCAAAAUAAUUUACCUAUGUUACAUUUAAAAUAUUGAUAAUUUUGAAUAAAUUAACUUUUUUUAUAUUUGUAGGAUAUACUAAUUUACUUGUUAGCAUCAUGUGAAAACAACUAUACAAGGAACAUUAGUAUCAUGCAAAUAUUUGGACAUUUAAAUGAAUGAAAUAAUGUAAAAUAAAUGGAGAUAAUAAGUGAGAGAGGCCCAAAGUAAGUGUUAUUAGGGGUAAUUUAGACAUCCAAAAAUACAAAUUUUGCCAAGUCAAACUUAAUUAUGUAUAUUGCUUAGUUGGAGCCUAGUCAUUGGGUUUUUGUUAGAGAAAUUUAUCAUGGUGGGUUUUAAUUAAAGAAAAUUGAAUUUCAAGGGGUGUACUCAUAUUUUCAGUAAAAACUACACGGUUCAUAUAAAAAUUCAAAGCCCCCCAGAUUCCCAUAUAUUGGCUCCGCCACGCACGCCAUUUUGGGCUCUAAAAGCAGUGUACGUAUAGUGCUGAAUAAAACAACACGCAGAUGAUGGUGAUCGAUGAACCAACACCCUUACCGUUAUCUGAUAAUUAAUUGCAUGUUUUCACAGUGGGUACUAUUCAUCAUUUUUUUUAUAGUAGGGUUGGUGAGGGUUUUUGAAUUGGAUGAAUUAUUGGAGAGAAAUAGACGGGUUAUGUCAAUAGGCGUGCAACACGAGAAAAAAGAUUUACAUGUUUUACUCUACGUACAGAUAUAAUUUGGAUUGGUUGAGAGUAACAUACAGUUUGCCGUUCAACAUAUAUAUAUAUAUAUAUAUAUAUAUAUAUAUAUAUAUAUAUAUAUAUCAUUAAGAGUAGAGCCUCAAAACCUAUCAGUUAGCUAGCUGGUGAGAAGAAAAAGAUAGCUUCCAGGACCCAAACAGCGGCCAAAAUUCCAGUAGUAGAUUUCUCCCAAGAGGAUUGCUGGAAGUCAGGGACAAGUUCUUGGCUCUCAGUACGCAGAGACGUUUGUAAUGCUCUCGAAGAGUUUGCCUGUUUCCUGGCAGUCCUUCCCAACAAAGUUUCCCGGGAGCUUAAUGACACCAUGUUUGGGACAUUCAACGAGUUGUUUGAUUUCCCCGACGAAAUUAAAGCACAAUUUCCUCAGGAUAAACCUCUAGUUGAGGGUUACGUAAGGCUGCCUACCCGUGAAUCCAUGUCAUUUCGUUCAAGCACUGAAAAAAUAAAGAACGUCACACGUCAACUUUGGCCGGAAGGAAAUGACCAGUUUCGGUAUAAAUUACUGCACAUUUCAAUAGUUAUAGCAGUUUUUUCUACAUCUAGAUACUUACUGAUAUAUGUUUUGUUAUCAACACUUUUGAUUUCUUUAUCAAUAAGCUAAUGCGAAUCUGUCCUUAAACAGUUAUACUUGUUCUUCCUAAUAAUAAUAAUUUGUUCUUUAUAUCUUGGGCAAUGAUAGUGUUGAUCUGUAUUCAAAAGUGAUGACAGAAUUAAAUCAAGUUGUGACGAAAAUGGUAUUUGAAAACUACAAGGUAGAGAAAUACCACGAUGAUCACAUUCAAUCGACCAUGCCCAUUACCCUACUUAUAAAAUAUGAUGAACCCAAGACAGAUGAAACUGAAACUGUUAUACACAAUCAUACAGACAAGUGUUUUACUACCAUACUCCAUCAAGAAUCGUAUGGUGUUGAGAUAAGCACAAAAGAUAACGAGUGGAUUGGUUAUGAUCCUCUGCCUUCAUCAUUAUUAUUCCUAGCAGGUGAUGGACUUCAGGUGCGUCAACACCCUUUCAUUAAUCUUGCUUUAGUUUCAUGAAUUUUAGCUCUCUCUCUUCAUGGAUAUGUCGUUCGGGCAUCCGUUUUGUAGAGCUCAGUUCUCAAUGUGUUUCAACAAUUUAACCAUCUAUCAUUAAGGCCUUCUCUCAAAUAUAACUUCUAAAAAAUUACCCAAAUCCAAAAUCAUAUGAUCGUUGGAUUAAAUGAUAGUCAUUUUAGUGUUUCUUUGAAGAACUAUAUUCGUCUUUUUUCUUGACUACAAUUGGAUCUCUUAAUUGUUUUAGAUUUGCCUAGUUUUUUUUUUUUUUUUUUACUUUUUUGGAAAGGAGAAUCUAUGAAUAAUGAAUUAAAAUAUAAAAGAUUCGGAUUGUUAAACAAAAGUUAUGAAAUGGUCAUCACAAGAUGUCAAUCAAAUAAGCUUUAUUUGAGGGAUAACAGAAGUUUAUAUAUAACCUAAUAACUAUUACAUGACGGAAGUUAGCAAUGUAUGUGCCAAAUUAGCAAAACAAUAAGCGGUUAUGUGGCUUCUCUAAAAAUGUGAUUAAUCAUUGAUGUAUAUUCAAACUGACCUAAUAAUAGAUUAACUUAAACCAAUUUUAACUUGCAAGCGCACGACUCAAUAGUAGCUAGUAGUAGUAUAGAUAUGCAAGUACGAGGUCAAUUUUGCAGGAAUUGCGUUAAAACCAUUUAAACCAAUAAUUACGCCAAACUUAAUUAUACAAACGAAUUGAAUUUAAGGAUUGAUUAAAACUAAAAUUAACAAGAGAAACUAAAAGAUAAACUAAACCAAGACAAUGAUGAAUUUUGAAAAUUAAGAUAUGAAGGCAAUGCGACAUCAAAUCCACCACUAGUAAUCCAACCUAGCUUCUAUAUUACCUAUCCGUUGAUAAAUUCAAUUGAUGUUGUUGAAUAGUUUUCCUUGCGCAUAAACUACCAAUAUGGUAUUUAGGCUCACCCGUAUAUCUCUACAUGCAACUUGUCUAUGGCAUUUAGUACAAUUAUGAACGUACAAAAGCUCAUUACGUUUUGUGAAAAUCUUGAAAACCAUGCAAACACUAGGAAUACGGUGUUUACCCUAAAAUAAUUACAACCCUUAACCACAAGAAGCAAGUCUCAAAUUAGCUAUAGUAUUUAGUCUAAUUUACAUCAAGUAACUCAAUUAAGAAUCUUGAUGGUAGCUAAGAGUCAAGAUAAUAAGCACGGUGAUUAAGAAGCCCAUAUUAAAGGGCAAUCGUAAGAGUCAAGAUAGUAACUCAAUGUCUUCUGCUUCCUUCAAGGUCAAGUGAUGCAGACAAAAGUUUCCUUGCAACAAAGCCACACGAUGCCCGCUGUGCUUCACCUUUUCAUACCCAAUCCUAAAACCACAUAAAAGUUCAAUGAAAUAAAUAUAUAAAUACAUAAGUAGCCUUUUGUAAGUAUAACUUAAAUAAAGCCAUAUAUGAACUUACGGAAUGUUUUCAACUACAAAUCUGCCAAAAUUUGAUCCCUCGAGUCUUUUGUGAUAGAUAAAAAACAAUGUCUUCUCGCGAGCCUCCAACAUGUUGAAAAAGUCGAGACAUGUUCUAAUGAAACCAAAAGGACCUUCCCGCUCAACAGUUCCAUCUGUAGUGACACUGCAUACUGAAAAAAAACAAUAACAAUUUUUGAAUAUCAAAUACGUUACACUUACAAUGAAAUAAAAAUAUAAUUUUAUCGGAUCCUGUCUACCUCUAAACGGCGCACCGCAAUAAGAAUCCUUCAAAGAAGCUUGAAACAUUGCAAAACGGGUGAGAAAUCUUGCUUUUCUCAAACCAAUGCCCAAUUUUUUUUUAAUUUUUACAAGUUUGUAGUCUUCGGCAUCAUCUUGUUCCUCUUUCUUGGCAUCCUUAAAAAAGACAAACAAAUCGUCGUGUGCAUGUUCUCCACCAGAUCCAUCAUUAAAAGCACCACCAUAGACCAACUUUCGAGAUCCGCGUUUAAUGUAAUCUAUUGGACAUUUGCACUCGUCAACUCCUUUACAAUUUCGUUUAUGCCUCGCUACUUGAGGGUUGUAAUAGAAAAUAUAUCCUGAUGGAACUUGGUCCUCCAUAUAACAAACGUAAACUGCAAAUGCAUUCCUACCAUCAUGUUUAUUUAAAAACGCCUCUCCACGUUUAACAAGGAAUUCAAUUGAUUUACCAAGUUUCGCCUUAGACUUUAAAGCCUGCAAGAAGCGAUUCGCUGCUUCAUAUUCGCCACACCAUACGCCAAAAGUCGGUGGAUGCUCUCUAAUUGUUUGCAGUUUAAGUUUAUCAGCUCCAACUGAAAAAACAAAAAGUUCACAUAAAUACAACUACAAUCAAACCUUGUCUCACUAAGUAAGGUCGGUUGAAAAGUUCACAUGUUUAGUGUAUAUAAUAUCGCUUGUUAAAAAAAAAGAUAGACAGAUAGAGUAUUACUUCUGCCUUCUUCCGUGGUUAUCCUUGAAUCCGACCCCAACACCAAGCCAAGCUCCAAAAGCAUAGCUGAAGUAACGGUUCCCGAUCCUCUCUCCUUAGCUUUGAUUGGAUUUCUGUCAAUCCUUUUAAGCACUGUGUUAUUUUCGUUCUCGAGCGUAAGCCUGAAGAAGUCAUCCACUGUAAUUAAGCUGUCAUCAUCAGGCAAAACAUGAAAAUUGUCCUUAUCUUCAAAGCAGCUCACAGAAUCCUCAGCAAAGUGUCCAUAUACUCCCAGUACGUGCUCACUCGGUAAUUGUUUGCUUGAAUUCAUAUUUGCUAACUAAACAGAACAAUAUAAUAUAUAUAUAUACGCGCACACACAUACAUACAUACAUAUAUAUAUAUAUAUAUGUAUAUAUAUGUAUCGAAAGAUUUAGCCAGCCAACCUACCACAUUCAGAAAAUUUCAGAAUUCUCACAAACUCGAUAAUUAUAACUUCAAUUCAACUCUUCAUACUUUAUUCUUCUUCUUGUAAAAGGUAUUUAUAGAGAACAAUAAUUAAGUAAACCUAAUUAAAUAAGUAAACCAUCUAAUUUCUGGAAGACAAGGAAAGUCUUAAUAAAAGAAGAUAAAAAAUAAAAUCUCUUACUUUAAACUUUCCCUUUCUCUAUAUUCUCCAACAUUCUGUAAAAAAAAUCACAAAAACAACGCUGAUCUAUGCUCAUUCUCUGUUCCCUUCCCAUAUUUUAUGAGAGAAAACUUAACUAUUUUACGCAUAUUUCUUUAUCAUUAGUGAAACUUGAAGACCUUCUUGAUGUUGCUCUUUUAGAGAACUUAUAGAAACAAUAUUAUUAAGAACAAAGGGUAGAGUUUAAAAUUAUUACAUUAACUUAAGGGAGGGGGAGUUUCAAACCCGAUAAGCAUGAGUAGAAACAACACCUUAUAUACUAGCAUAUUUGACCGCAUGCAUGGAAACAAUCCAGAUGGGAUUCUUUAAUAUUUUUUAUAGUGCAUUUUUGCUUCCACCCCCCCUCUAAAGUGAGGGCAAUGCUCAACUCCUUAUUUUAAAUUUUGAGAUUCGUGUUUUAGAUCAAUUAAAUCAAACUAAUGUAACGGUAACCAAUAAGAAGGUGAGCAUUAGCCCACUUUUGAGAAGAAAUUUUUCCAUGUGACUAGAACACGCACCUUAGCAUGAUAGGUGAUGUUCCCAACUAAUAACCUAUUGAUAUCUGUAUUCUUGGCAUAACAAUACUCUUUGUACAAUUAACCCAAAAAAAACAAUUAAAAUCAAUGGCCGACUUCCAAACCUCCCCAAUUGGCCGACUCCCUUCCGGAGACCUGCACAGUCCACCCCCCCACUCCCAUGCAUCCCCCCCUUCCCCACACGUCUCUCUCCCUUUCUCUUUCGUUUUCAAUAUUUCUUCCUUUUUUGUGUGCUCCUCCUGAGAAGGACACAAAGAGCGCCAGAAAAUUCAUCAGAUCAUAAAUUGGAGGUCAGAGACGACAAAUCUGGGUCGAUGGAGGUGGGUGGUUUCUCAUAGGGUGGAAGAAAGCGAGAGAGAAGAGGAGAAACAAAAAGAGGAAGAAAGUUUUUGCCGAUGGAAUCACAGGGCGGCGAUGGGGGUGAGUGAUUUCUGAUAGGGUGGGUGGUCGGCGGGGAAGGAGGAAGUCGAAGAGUUUUCUGACGUCUUUCUCUUUCAACUAUUAUGUUAGGGGGUAUAUUAGGAAUUUUGUUGACCAAUAUCAUAAAUAGCAAAACAUGGGAAAUUUUUUAUUUGCAACAAUAACAUUGACACAUGGUAAUGUUUUAUUGGUUGGGUACUCCACGUAAGCUAAUGUGCCGGUCACCUAGAAAUAAACUUCACUUUUGAGGAGUGAGGUGAGCAAAUAUGCACUCGUAUUUUUUGUUGAUUUGUCAUUCUUGGUCAAAAGAACUAAUGAUAGAAAAUAAUCCCAAGAUUUGAUGAACAAAAAUAGGAACGAAAUGUUAUUUAACUAUUAUUAAAUUAUUUACAUAAGUACAUAAUUAAAUUACUUAGCCAUUGUUAAGCCACCAACACAUGGAACGCUAUAAGAUGGCCCGUAACACUCACCACGUAGUAAGGGUAGUGAACAAAUUUGAACUCAAAUACAUAAACCGGAAAAUAUACGUUCAAUCAUUUGCUUUCUUACUCUUUUCUACUAAAAAAUUAUUGGUUACCAGUUCUUUCCUUAUUUGAUCAAUUUCAAUGGUCUCGUAAUAGUCCUUCCUUGAAUCCUUGUAGAUCACAAAACAAGACUAGUCAUACAUGAACGUGUUCUUACCGGUAAGAACAAGUUCAACAGUAAAGCUGAAAAUUUACACAUGUUUUUACCGGUAAGAACACGUUCAUUAAUAGAGCUAAAACUUUACAAGUGUUCUUACCCGGUAAUAAUGUUUGUAAAUUUUCACUCAAUUAGUAAACAUGUUCUUACCGGUAAGAACCAUUCAUAUAUAAUUCCUAGAUCCUUUUUUUCUAAAUGCAUUUUGCCAACAUUUUGCCUACUAUUUCGGAAUAAUUUAGAAGCGACUAGUAUCGGGGCUAAUAUCGAUGUGUAUAUUUGUUGUAUAGACAAACAUUAUAUUUAAAUUUUCACCUUCAAUAUUUACCAUAGAUAUUUUCCUAUUAAGUAUGGAGGCUUUUACCAUUUGGGGAAGCUUUGCAACUUAUUGUUGCCCAGUCAAACAAACAAGACGAAAGGUUCGUUGCAUGGAACUUACAUACUCCCACCAGAAGAACGCGUACCCCAAGCAACCAUUGCCAGAACCUCAUAUAUCCAGUCCCAAGUUAAAGCAAGAUAUCUGGACAACCAAGAUCGAGUCCAAUUUGCAACAGAAUUCCAAAAAUAACCACCAACGUUUUUGGUUGAUGAUUAGUUUCAUUCAGAAUCACUCGCAACAAUUAUCAUUUAAGGGGGUGUAGUCAAUUAGGAUUUCAGAGAAUUUUAAUAGAUUUUUUGAAGUGACUUAUUUUAAAGGAUUUUAAUAGACUCUACAAUUCUACAUGGAUUUUGACAGAUUUAUGAAUUUCAAUUAUAGAUUUCUAUGAAUUUGUAUGAACUUCUCUUGUGAAUUUCUUAGGAUUUCUAAACAUCACCAAACCAAUAUGAACAUGAUACCCAAUCAUUUAUCUUUGUUUAUUUUCCGACCCAACUUGUAAACUUCACCAAACAACAACAACAACAACAACAACAAAGCCUUUUCCCACUAAGUGGGGUCGGCUAUAUGAAUCCUAGAACGCCAUUGCGCUCGGGUUUGUGUCAUGUCCUCCGUUAGAUCCAAGUACUCUAAGUCUUUUCUUAGAGUCUCUUCCAAAGUUUUCCUAGGUCUUCCUCUACCCCUUCAACCCUGAACCUCUGUCUCGUAGUCACAUCUUCGAACCGGAGCGUCAGUCGGCCUUCUUUGCACAUGUCCAAAUCACCGGAGCCGAUUUUCUCUCAUCUUUCCUACAAUUUCGGCUACUCCUACUUUACCUCGGAUAUCCUCAUUCCCAAUCUUAUCCUUUCUCGUGUGCCCACACAUCCCACAAAGCAUCCUCAUCUCCGCUACACCCAUUAUGUGUACGUGUUGAUGCUUCACCGCCCAACAUUCUGUGCCAUACAACAUCGCUGGCCUUAUUGCCGUCCUAUAAAAUUUUCCCUUGAGCUUCAGUGGCCUACGACGGUCACACAACACGCCGGAUGCACUCUUACACUUCAUCCAUCCAGCUCGUAUUCUAUGGUUGAGAUCUCCAUCUAAUUCUCCGUUCUCUUGCAAGAUAGAUCCUAGGUAGCGAAAACGGUCGCUUUUUGUGAUCUUCGCUAGAUUGCUCCGGUCAUUAGUGUAGAUAAGUAUAUAAAUGGAUAGAGAUAGGAAAGCAAACACAAGAUGUACGUGGUUCACCCAGAUUGGCUACGUCCACGGAAUAGAAGAGUUCUCAUUAAUUGUGAAGGGUUUACACAAGUACAUAGGUUCAAGCUCUCAUUCAGUGAGUACAAGUGAAUGAUUUAGUACAAAUGACAUUAGGAAAUAUUGUGGGAGAAUGAUCUCGUAAUCACGAAACUUCUAAGUAUCGGAGUGUGGUGUCGUCUUGACUUGCCUUAUCUGUCUCAUAGGUAGAUGUGGCAUCUUCUCUGGAAGUACUCUUCCUCCAUCCAGGGGUGGUAUCUUUAACUGGUGGAGAUGCACAAGGUAAUGUAUCAAUUUCACUUGAAGCUUACUUGUAGUUUCAAGCUUGGUCAAGCGCGAUACAAACCAUGUAGUAGGAGUCCCCCAAGUCGCCGAGCUAGGGGGUCUGCUGAAAGAGGUGACAGACAAGGUAAGCAAUCAGAGCUCCGACUGAUUGUUCACCUUCUCCCCAUCUUGCAGCAGCAUGAAGGAUAAAGAGAAGAAAAAUGAGAAGAGAUGAUAUGAGAUACUUUUGCUUUUGAAGAAGUAACUUUCCACAGGCUUAUUCUUGAACUGAGCUGGAGGGUUUUCUGGUUUCCUCCAGAGUAUAAGGCCGACUGAAGAAUUUGAGGGUCAAAACAAGUCCAUCAAAUCUAGAGUACGUUCCACCCUGCUGAUAUGGGAUACUUUUGCUUUUGACAGAGUAAUGGAUGUAUCGGCACGUGUGCUGUUACGCUUGUCUCCACAUGCUUCCUUGUAUCCUUCGCACUUGCCCUAUCUGUUCCUCAAGCAGAUGCGGAAUCUUCCCUGGAAACAUAAGAUGUUGAAGAUGAGUACUCGAGAGCAAUGCCAGGUAAGUAAUCAGGUAAGGGGUUGAUUCCAAGUGCUGACUGAUUGCUCUCUUUCUCCUUGUCUUGCAGGUAAAAACAAGGCCAAAGGAAAAGACAGGGAAAAAACAUGAUAUGGGAUACUCUUGCUUUUAACCCUGAUGAUAUGAGAUAUUCUUGCUCUAGUAUAGCUUGUUUGUAGAGGUAUUAUCGGGGGGAAAGAAAGCUGAAUAUUUCGAAAGGCUUCGUUGGGAGUGCCCUCUCAGAUAUGAUGAAGGGUUGAGCAUUUUUGCAGGUCUGCCUGUCCGUUGGGGAUGGAGGUCGACAUAUAUAGGAGUCUCCCUAACAACAAGUAGUAAUGCUAUUCAUUUACCCUGCUUGGUCAUAGCACGGUAGUGGGAGCUGCCAGUUUCACAUGAUUUAACUCUGUCAGAGCACUUUGAAAAAGUGGUCUGUGGUAUCUGGCUCUCGAGAUUCGGAGAACGAUGCCUCUUCGAUUUUUGAGAAAGCAAUCAUGCUGGGGGUCUGGCUCUCGAGAUUCGGAGAGCAGUGUCUCUUCGAUUUUUGAGGAAGUAAUCAUGUUGGGAGUCUGGCUCUCGAGAUUCGGAGGGCGGUGCCUCUUCGAUUUUGGAGCAAGCAAUCCUGUUGGGAGUGUUGUCUCGAAUGUGAGUAAAGGUUGGGCAUGUUUGCUAGUCUACCUUGCCCCGAAGCACAAAGGUUGACACACAGGGACUUUCCAAUUAUCUAGCAAUGGUACUGUUCCUUUACCCUCUCUUCGCUUUUGAGAAAGUAGUCAUGUUGGGAGUCUGGCUCUCGAGAUUCGGAGGACGGUGCCUCUUCGAUUUUGGAGCAAGCAAUCUUGUUGGGAGUGUUUUCUCGAAUGUGAGUAAAGGUUGGGCAUGUUUGCUAGUCUACCUUGCCACGAAGCACAGAGGUUGACACACAGGAACUUUCCAAUUAUCCAGCAAUGGUACUGUUCCUUUACCCUUGUGGGUAAUAAUAUGGUAGCUAGACCUUCAAAAUUUAUGUGUCUAAACUUUGUUAGUGCUGUUUCUUUGCUAUUCUUUUACCUUUCUUGGUCAGAGCGAUGUAGUGGGAGCUGCAAGCUUCACGUGCUCAACUUUGGCAGAGAACUUUGGCAAAGUUAUCUGUGGUACCCAUGAGCUAUUGUUGCGUGUGGGAAGUGGGUGAUUGAACAGUAAGAUUCAUGUGCUUUCUACUUCACCAGAAGUCUUCGACAGAAUGCCCAUAAUUUCCGCAAAGCUGAGUGUGCGUGUGACAGGUGCUGACAAGGCUAGAAUAGUAGGUGCCUCUUCGAUUUCUGAGAUCGGCCCUCGUGGUCUCUGAGCAGCCCAGCUUUUGAGAAAGCGAGCGCCUCUUCGAUUGAUUCGGAGAACGAUGCCUCAUCGAUUUUUGAGAAAGCAAUCAUGCUGGGGGUCUGGCUCUCGAAGAUUCGGGGAGCAGUGUCUCUUCGAUUUUUGAGAAAGUAAUCAUGUUGGGAGUCUGGCUCUCGAGAUUCGGAGGACGGUGCCUUUUCGAUUUUGGAGCAAGCAAUCUUGUUGGGAGUGUUUUCUCGAAUGUGAGUAAAGGUUGGGCAUGUUUGCUAAUCUACCUUGCCACGAAGCACAGAGGUUGACACACAGGGACUUUCCAAUUAUCCAGCAAUGGUACUGUUCCUUUACCCUCUUCGAUUUUUAAGAAAGUAGUCAUGUUGGGAGUCUGGCUCUCGAGAUUCGGAGGACGGUGCCUCUUCGAUUUUGGAGCAAGCAAUCUUGUUGGGAGUGUUUUCUCGAAUGUGAGUAAAGGUUGGGCAUGUUUGCUAAUCUACCUUGCCACGAAGCACAGAGGUUGACACACAGGGACUUUCCAAUUAUCCAGCAAUGGUACUGUUCCUUUACCCUCUUCGAUUUUUAAGAAAGUAGUCAUGUUGGGAGUCUGGCUCUCGAGAUUCGGAUGACGGUGCCUCUUCGAUUUUGGAGCAAGCAAUCUUAUUGGGAGUGUUUUCUCGAAUGUGAGUAAAGGUUGGGCAUGUUUGCUAGUCUACCUUGCCACGAAGCACAGAGGUUGACACAUUUCAAAUUAUCCAGCAGUGGUACUGUUCCUUUACCCUUGUGGGUAAUAAUAUGGUAGCUAGACCUUCAAAAUUUAUGGGUCUAAACUUUGUUAGUGCUGUUUCUUUGCUAUUCUUUUACCCUUCUUGGUCAGAGCGAUGUAGUGGGAGCUGCAAGCUUCACGUGCUCAACUUUGGCAGAGAACUUUGGCAAAGUUAUCUGUGGUACCCAUGACCUAUUGUUGCGUGUGGGAAGUGGGUGAUUGAACAGUAAGAUUCAUGUGUUUUCUACUUCCCCAGAAGUCUUCGACAGAAUGCCCAUAAUUUCCGCAAAGCUGAGUGUACGUGUGACAGGUGCUGACAAGGCUGGAAAAGUAGGUGCCUCUUCGAUUUCUGAGAUCGGCCCUCGUGGUCUCUAGGGAGCCCAGCUUUUGAGAAAGCGAGCGCCUCUUCGAUUUCUGAGAUCGGCCUUCGUGGUCUUUGAGCAGCCCAACUUUUGAGAAAGCAAACGCCUCUUCGAUUUCUGAGAUCAACCCUCGUGAUCUCUAAGCAGCCCAGCUUUUGAGAAAGAAAACGCCUCUUCGAUUUCUGAGCAGGCGCCUCUUCGAUUUCUGAAGCUCCGUCGAGUGCAGAUUUUUAUAGGGGCUGGCAUUAAGUUCCAAAGCACACUUGAAUCUCCACCAGUAGAAGCUUCAUUCUUGCACUUCUAAGAUCUUAAUUUGUCCGACCUCUUCUCUCUUCAACAUCUUUGAAAAUGUCUGGCCCCUCCGACCGUCGUUUUGACUUGAACCUUGUUGAAGAGGCAGCCCCGCCUUCUCCAGACAACAUAUGGCGCCUAUCCUUCGUCUCCCCUACUGGUCCUCUUACCGUUGGAGAUUCCGUGAUGAAGAAUGAUAUGACCGCUGCGGUGGUGGCCAGGAACCUUCUCACUCCCAAAGAUAACAGACUACUUUCCAAACGGUCUGAUGAGUUAGCUGUUAAGGAUUCGCUGGCUCUCAGUGUUCAGUGUGCAGGUUCUGUGUCUAAUAUGGCCCAACGCCUAUUUGCUCGAACCCGCCAAGUUGAAUCAUUGGCGGCUGAAGUGAUGAGUCUGAAACAGGAGAUUAGAGGGCUCAAGCAUGAGAAUAAACAGUUGCACCGGCUCGCACAUGACUAUGCUACAAACAUGAAGAGGAAGCUUGACCAGAUGAAGGAAACUGAUGGUCAGGUUUUACUUGAUCAUCAGAGAUUUGUGGGUUUGUUCCAAAGGCAUUUAUUGCCUUCGUCUUCUGGGGCUGUACCGCGUAAUGAAGCUCCGAAAUGAUCAACCUCUGAUGCCUCCUCCUUCUAGGGUUCUGUCCAGUACUGAGGCUCCAAAUGAUCCCCCUCCGGUGCCUUCUCUUUCUGGGGCUCUACCGACUGCUGAGACUUCUCCUAAGCAACCUUUGUGAAGGCUCCCUCUUGUGUGUUUAUUUUGACUCAUGUAUAUGUACAUAUUUGUAGCUUUAUCGAGGAUAUCAAUAAAUAAGCUUUCCUUCAUUUCAACGUAUUGUGUUAAAUACACCAAAGCCUUCUUCGCUAAGUUCUUUGAAUUUUCUUUUGUUGAAGCUUGUAUGUUGAAGCUUUCUGAGUGGAGCAUGUAGGUUGGGGUAGUGUUCCCUUAAUUUCCCGAGUGAGGAAAACUUCUCGGUUGGAGACUUGGAAAAUCCAAGUCACUGAGUGGGAUCGGCUAUAUGAAUCUUAGAACGCCAUUGUGCUCGAUCCUGAGUCAUGUCAUUCGUUAGAUCCAAGUACUCUAAGUCUUUUCUUAGAGUCUCUUCCAAAGUUUUCCUAGGUCUUCCUCUACCCCUUCGGCCCUGAACCUCUGUCCCAUAGUCGCAUCUUCUAAUCGGAGCGUCAGUAGGCCUUCUUUGCACAUGUCCAAACCACCGUAACCGAUUUUCUCUCAUCUUUCCUUCAAUUUCGGCUACUCCUACUUUACCCCGGAUAUCCUCAUUCCUAAUCUUAUCCUUUCUCGUGUGCCCACACAUCCAACGAAGCAUCCUCAUCUCCGCUACACCCAUUUUGUGUACGUGUUGAUGUUUCACCGCCCAACAUUCUGUGCCAUACAGCAUCGCCGGCCUUAUUGCCGUCCUAUAAAAUUUUCCCUUGAGCUUCAGUGGCAUACGGCGGUCACACAAACACGCCGGAUGCACUCUUCCACUUCAUCCAUCCAGCUUGUAUUCUGUGGUUGAGAUCUCCAUCUAAUUCUCCGUUCUUUUGCAAGAUAGAUCCUAGGUAACGAAAACGGUCGCUCUUUGAUAUUUCUUGAUCUCCGAUCCUCACCCCUAACUCGUUUUGGCCUCCAUUUGCACUGAACUUGCACUCCAUAUAUUCUGUCUUUGAUCGACUUAGGCGAAGACCUUUAGAUUCCAACACUUCUCUCCAAAGGUUAAGCUUUGCAUUUACCCCUUCCUGAGUUUCAUCUAUCAACACUAUAUCGUCUGCGAAAAGCAUACACCAAGGAAUAUCAUCUUGAAUAUGUCCUGUUAACUCAUCCAUUACCAACGCAAAAAGGUAAGGACUUAAGGAUAAGCCUUGAUGUAAUCCUACAGUUAUGGGAAAGCUUUCGGUUUGUCCUUCAUGAGUUCUUACGGUAGUCUUUGCUCCUUCAUACAUAUCCUUUAUAGCUUGGAUAUAUGCUACUCGUACUCCUUUCUUCUCUAAAAUCCUCCAAAGAAUGUCUCUUGGGACCCUAUCAUACGCUUUUUCCAAAUCUAUAAAGACCAUGUGUAAAUCAUUUUUCCCAUCUCUAUAUCUUUCCAUCAAUCUUCGUAAGAGAUAAAUUGCCUCCAUGGUUGAGCGCCCUGGCAUGAACCCGAAUUGGUUGUCCGAAACCCGUGUCUCUUGCCUCAAUCUAUGCUCAAUGACUCUCUCCCAGAGCUUCAUUGUAUGACUCAUUAGCUUAAUACCCCUAUAGUUCAUGCAAUUUUGUACGUCGCCCUUAUUCUUGUAGAUAGGCACCAAAGUGCUCGUUCGCCACUCAUUUGGCAUCUUCUUCGUUUUCAAAAUCCUAUUGAAAAGGUUAGUGAGCCAUGUUAUACCUGUCUCUCCCAAAACUUUCCACACUUCGAUUGGUAUAUUGUCUGGGCCUAUUGCUUUUUUAUGCUUCAUCUUCUUCAAAGCUACAACCACUUCUUCCUUCCGGAUUCGACGAUAAAAAGAGUAGUUUCUACACUCUUCUGAGUUACUCAACUCCCCUAAAGAAGCACUCAUUUCAUGUCCUUCAUUGAAAAGAUUAUGAAAAUAACCUCUCCAUCUGUCUUUAACCGCGUUCUCUGUAGCAAGAACCUUUCCAUCCUCAUCAUCCUUGAUGCACCUCACUUGGUUUAGGUCCCUUGUCUUCUUUUCCCUUGCUCUAGAUAGUUUAUAGAUAUCCAACUCUCCUUCUUUGGUAUCUAGUCGUUUAUACAUAUCGUCAUAAGCCGCUAACUUAGCUUCUCUGACAGCUUUCUUCGCCUCUUGCUUCGCUUUUCUAUACCUUUCACCAUUUUCAUCGGUCCUCUCCUUGUAUAAGGCUUUACAACAUUCCUUCUUAGCCUUCACCUUUGUUUGUACCUCCUCAUUCCACCACCAAGAUUCCUUUUGGUGUGGGGCAAAGCCCUUGGACUCUCCUAAUACCUCUUUUGCUACUUUUCGGAUACAACUAGCCAUGGAAUCCCACAUUUGGCUAGCUUCCCCCUCUCUAUCCCACACACAUUGGGUGAUUACCUUCUCUUUGAAAAUGACUUGUUUUUCUUCUUUUAGAUUCCACCAUCUAGUCCUUGGGCACUUCCAAGUCUUGUUCUUUUUGUCUUACUCUUUUGAUAUGUACAUCCAUCACCAACAAGCGAUGUUGAUUAGCCACGCUCUCUCCUGGUAUAACUUUGCAAUCCUUACAAGUUAUACGAUCCCCUUUCCUCAUUAGAAGAAAAAUCUAUUUGUGUUUUUGACGACCCACUCUUGUAGGUGAUCACAUGUUCUUCUCUCUUCUUAAAGAAGGUGUUGGCUAAGAAGAGAUCAUAUGCCAUUGCAAAAUCCAAGAUAGCUUCCCCAUCCUCGUUUCUCUCCCAAAACCAUGGCCACCAUGAAAACCUCCAUAGUUGCCUGUCUCCCUGCCCACGUGUCCAUUUAAAUCUCAUCCUAUAAAUAACUUCUCCGUCUGAGCAAUUCCUUGCACCAAGUCUCCAAGAUCUUCCCAAAAUUUCUCCUUCGAACUCGUAUCCAACCCUACUUGAGGUGCGUACGCACUAAUCACAUUGAUAAGUUCUUGUCCUAUUACAAUCUUGAUUGCCAUGAUUCUAUCUCCUACCCUCUUGACAUCUACAACAUCUUGUACCAAGGUCUUGUCCACGAUGAUGCCAACACCGUUUCUCGUUCUAUUUGUGCCCGAAUACCAAAGUUUAAACCCUGAGUUUUCUAGAUCCUUUGCCUUACUACCAACCCACUUAGUUUCUUGUAGGCACAUAAUAUUUAUCCUUCUCCUCACCAUAACUUCCACUACUUCCAUAGAUUUUCCCGUUAAGGUUCCUAUAUUCCACGUUCCUAAACGCAUUUUGCUCUCUUGAACUCUACCCUUCUGUCCUAGCUUAUUCACCCUCCCCCGUCUAAUAGGAUCAAAGUACUUCUUUUGUGUGUCCCGGGUAAAGUUGCUAGGAGCAUAUGCUCCCAAACAACUUUGAGUGGAGUCGUUCGAAAAGAAGUUUCUAUGGCCCCCUUGCUCAUUUAACACUGCAUCCGGGUGCCGAUGGAAAUACAGCGACCCUUGCUCACUUAUCACUGUGCUCGGGCCACACAGCGCGCCACUUACGGGUUUCGGAAGCAAUUCUGGUUUGUUCAAUCCAACUUUUGCCUUUGCAAUUCCUGCUCCUACACACAAAUAAAGGGUUUUCUACAUUUCUGGUGUUAGAAAUUACUUAAGGGACCUGUAGUUAGAUCUUCCUUUUGUUCCAUUAGAUGGGGUGAAGUUGCUUGCUCCCUUAAUUUCUCCAGGUUCCACCCAACAGUCUAUUCAGCUUCUUUAUGAACCAUAUUUAUCUAUCUUGCUCGUAUUUUACUGUGAACUGCAAUUGAGUAUUUGCUACUUCUAGAACCCUUCUCUACAACUCAUAGAAGUUGUCAAGAGUUCCACAAGGGAAAAUGGAUGUUUGCCGCUCAAAUGGUGGACCAUGGACUGCCAUGAAUGGACGUGACAAACCUCCAGGCCUCAAUUUGAAAAUUCAUAGUGCGCUUUGGUUAUUUGAAAAUUCAUUUGUUGCUGUAUUAAAAAAAUUAUGGAAUUGCAGAAAAGGAUAACAAAAACAUGCCUGACCUAGGAGAGAGAACCUUUGGACUAAAACUCCUAGACCCAGUUGUUGGAAUUGGCUAUGGGGUUUGAAUGAGGAUCAUCUCCGGAUCCUCUUUGUGAGGAUCCAGGGGAUCAUUUAAUUGUGUCAAUUCAUCGUACAUUGUGUAGUUAGAGAUUAUUUUAAUUUUUUUAUUUAAAAUUGAACAUACAUAGUAACUGAUGAAAACUAAUAGCGCGAUUUACAAUAAACGGACACGAUUAAAGAAUUCCCUAGAUCUUCACGGAGAGGAUCAUGCGGUUUUGUGUUGAAGGGAGAUGAUGACACGACGCAAUGAUAGUGAUGGGUGGUUUGAAUGCAGGAUGUGAGGUUUGUAUGAAAGAGAUAGAAAAGUCAGCUUGAGAGAGAAACUUGAAAAGAAAUCCUAAGGGUGGAGGUAGGAUUCUUUAUAGUCUUUGUAUAUGUAAAAUUCACUCUCAAAUCCUACAAAAUCUCUUACUUAAUGAAAUCCUUUAAAAUCGAUGACAUUUUGAAUACCCAUAGAUUUGCACAUUAGAUUUUAAAUCCUAAUUGGCUACACCUGAAUUUGAAUGCAUUUUUUUAAAUCCUGUUAAAUCUUACUUUGACUACACCAUAAGUUCAAAGUCUAUUAAAAUCCUCUUUUAAAAUCUUAAUUGACUACACCUUGAUACUAAAGUCUUUUAAAAUCCUUUCAAAUCUCAAUUUGACUAUACCCCUUAAAAACACCACCAAUACAUGCAAAUCAUAUCAAAAUAUAAAUUAAACACAGAAAACGCUAUGUAUGAACAGCGACGAUUGAGUUAUCUAGCUCAAGUAUUCCAGGUCCGACAUGGGUCCAUAAGAACAUAUAUAUAAUAUAGCGCACCGAAAUGAAACGAUAAUUCAACCGCUGAUGCUUGUAUGCACCAAGAUAUUCAACAUAAGAACAACAACGGAAUAUUGCUAAUGAAUGGAGAUAUUGGACAUGUGGAGAGAUGCUCAUAAUGAUAACAAUGUGAAUGGAGGAUAAUGAGUCACAAAUAAUUCUAGUGUGGUAGUGAUGAAUUUCUGAUGAUGUUCUUGUAAUGUUAGAUUUUGUGGCAGCGUUCGAGAAAGCAAAAAAGAAAGAAGAAAAUAUUACUUAUAAUGAUGAAUUUCUGAUUAAUAUAAGGUUUUGUGGUAGUGUUUGAAACUUGAAAUUUGGAAUUUCAUCUAAUUGUUUAGCUACUACGAUUACAUUAUUAUUAUGUGUAUUUGAGUUCAUGAUUGUGCUUGCUAACACUUCAAAUUUAUUGUUAAUGGAUCUCCUUUGAUUCAAAACGUUUAUGUUUCUCGUGCAUUAUUUCAUUUUAUGUUAUAAGAUUCAACUAAUAAAUCCUAAGAAAUUCACGAAAGAAAUUCAUGCAAAUUCAUAGAAAUCUAUAAUAGAAAUCCAUACAAAUCCAUAGAAAUCUAUAAUAGAAAUCCAUAUAAAUCUGUCAAAAUCUAUAUAGAAUUGAGAAUCUUUUAAAAUCCUUUGAAAUUUGUCACUUAAAAAAAGUCUAUUAAAAUCCUGUGAAAUCCAAAUUGACUACACCUCCCUUGAAAAGAAAUCCUAAGGGUGGAGGUAGGAUUCUUUAUAGUCUUUGUAUGUGUAAAAUUCACUCUCAAAUCCUACAAAAUCUCUUACUUAAUGAAAUCCUUUAAAAUCGAUGACAUUUUGAAUACCCAUAGAUUUGCACAUUAGAUUUUAAAUCCUAAUUGGCUACACCUGAAUUAGGAUGCAUUUUUUUUAAAUCCUGUUAAAUCCUAUUUUGACUACACCAUGAGUUCAAAGUCUAUUAAAAUCCUCUUUUAAAAUCUUAAUUGACUACACCUUGAUUCUAAAGUCUUUUAAAAUCCUUUAAAAUCUCAAUUUGACUACGCCCCCUUAAAAACAUCACCAAUACAUGCAAAUCAUAUCAAAAUCUAAAUUAAACAAAGAAAACACUAUGUAUGAACGGGGAUGAUUGAGUUAUCUAGCUCAAGUAUUCCAGGUCCGACAUGGGUCCAUAAGAACAUAUAUAUAAUAUAGCGCACCGAAAUGAAACGAUACUUCAACUAUUGCUGCUUGUAUGCACCAAGUGGCCUCCUCGAAUUCAGUAAUAAAAAAUCAGCAGGAUGAUAUAUCAUUGAUCAAAAAUCAGAAGGAUGAUAUAUCAUUGGUCAAAAGGGUGGGACUGGGAGAACCCUAACCGUCCUUAUCUUCAGGGAAGAAGAACUCUUUCCAUAAUCUAGUUGUUUCGAUCUUUUUGUCUGGCUUCGGGCAUUGUGAGGUCCUAUGGUGACCAAUCUCAUCACAAAAGGAACACCAAAGGAUAUGAACACGCCCCCCGUAUAUUUCAUAGCCCUUGCCAACUUGAGUUACGCCGAAGGGGAUACGUCUCCUCCAGGGACAUUGUUCAGGAGCGUGGCCAAACUUAGUGCAAAUUGGACAACUAGACGGCAAUCAGAAACUAUGCGUGGCUCGACUAUGCAUUUGGGAAUUUUGUCCUCCUUGUAAAAAGCUGGGCUAGGAUUCUUCUCCUCAAGUGGGAGUUGAGCUAGAGAGUCUGCAACAGCCUUUACAUUCGUGAGGUCAGUCGUCAGAGAGUCUUUAACAGCCGCCUUUUUUUCUUUCUUCUUAUCUGCGUGUUUCGUAAAAUGUACAGAUACGUUAAUAAGUAGGUCAUCCGCACUCGAGCCCUUAAUAACUUUUCAACGUAACAAGAGAUUUAGAAUUUUUAUGAACACAAAAAGUAAAGCAUCAAGAACCCUAAUUAAGUUCAAGCUUUGUAACCCUAAAAACAUAUGCAGAUUGCAACAAAAAUAUGCAGCCUAAUUAUGCUGCUGUAAAUUCGAAAUUACAGAUAAUCUUCCUCCUCACAAACCAUAAAAACCAAGAUUCGUCGGUUGGGUACGAAUUGGAUUCUUCCCCUUCGCCGAUCCUCCUGGUCCUCCGGCGGGGGACUUGGCCUUGGAUCUGGCUUCCUUGGGUCUGCCUUCGGAUCGGCAUUUCAUGGUUUUGUGUUUGAGAUAGAGAGAGAGGAAGGCAAGAAUUUGGUUUUUUGUUUAGGUUGGUUUGUCCCAGUUUGGAGGAAGGCAAGAAUUUGGUUUUUUGUUUAGGUUGGUUUGUCCCAGUUUGUUUGAGCCUUUAGACUUAAUAGUUAAUUAUACUAAACCUUCAAAGUGUAUAAUACCCUACACAUUUAAUUGAUUGUCUUUUUCUUUUUCUUUCCUAUUUAGUCUAAAUACGGCCCAACAUGACUCUCCUUGAUUUGUGAAAUGGACUAAUUACAAAGAUAAAUUAACACUUAAGAACCGAGGUUAAUUUAACGAACGAGUGCAGUUUGAACCAACUUCGAACUCUUUCAUAAAAGGGUACGAGUUGUUACGAGAUUUAUGAACAAAUUUCAAGAGUGUUUCAUUUUAAAAACCAAAUCUCUACGUUGUAAACCAUCCUAACUACUUCUAACUUGAUUUAUUUGUAUUUAAAAUGUCACGACUUAUGUUUGGUAUGUUAUUAUUUGUGAAAAAUCGUACAUCCUUAUGUUUCAAAUCAAUUCACCAAAAUUAUACUUGUACCCAGUUUCAUAUGGGAGAUGUUUUAUGCGCAUUUCCUGAUGCAAACCCUCUUAUUUUCCGAUAGUCAGAAAGUUUGUUAUUCUUCAGUGGAAUGUGACCCAAAAACACAUUACGAUUGAAACAUAAUAUUUUUUUGGUCAUCUAUAGGUUUCUCCAUCGUUUACUUUUUUAAUGUGGGCUCGUAAUUGUAAUGAUAUCUGUUGUUUGAUCUUAAAUAUUAUUGGUAUACAAAUUCUGAACAUAUUGUACUUUCCACAGGAAAGGCCUUGAAGUGACGGACGACGUGUCUAUUGUGGAGCACCUUCAGCAUCCGGUGUACAUCACCGAAGGAUCUUAUACCAACAUCAAGGUAAUGAAACAUACUAACUGAAGCUUGAUUCUUUACUGUAAACCAAUAGUAAGCAGUCCAGUGCCAGUCUCUGACGUAAACGUUUCUCAGUGUAUUUGGAAAUUCAAUCUCUAUAACGUAACACAUAAUAUCAAAGGAUGUGAUUCAUUGAAUUACAAACAAUGUGGUGGUGUUUUGCAGGUGAGAACGCCGGAUGAUUUAUUACUCGCGGAAAGAAUGUUAAGUAUGAGCUCGGGAAAGUCUUCUUCUGAAUAGCCGUCUCUCUGUAUGCUGAUUUUGUGCCAGUGCUUGUAUUUUCGUUCUUCUUUCCUUUGUGUAGACGAAACUAAAGCCGAAAAACAUUUAAAUCCAAAAAAAUUUAUUAAAGGGGAUGUGAUUUUGUGCAAGUGCUUGUAGUUUUGUGGUUGUUCUAAUAGAAAUUAUCAUAUUUAUAUGAGUUGAAAUUAAUUGUGUAGAAAUUGUGAGAAGAUACUGUGAUUAAUGGAGGCUAAGGAGCUUGUCAUGUUUCACCCGAACAUGCUUUUAAGCAAAACCAAUUAUGGUAUCAACAAGAGCUUCAUCAAAGGAGUUCAAUCACAAUUCUCAAAAGCUUCACACACUCUUGAUCAAGACAGUGUGAAGCAAAACCAAUUUAUGGUGCCAAUAAGAGCUUCAUCAAUGGAGAGCAACCACAAUUCUCAAAAACUUCACACACUUUUGAUCAAGACAGUAUGAAGCAAAACCAAUUUAUGGUGCCAACAAAAGCUUUAUCAAAGGAGUUCAACCACAAUUCUCAAAAGCUUCACACACUCUUGAUCAAGACAGUGUGAAGCAAAACCAAUUUAUGGUGCCAACAAGAGCUUCAUCAAAGGAGGGCAACCACAAUUCUCAAAAACUUCACACGUUCUUGAUCAAGACAGUGUGAAGCAAAACCAAUUUAUGGUGCCAACAAAAGCUUUAUCAAUGGAGGGCAACUACAAUUCUCCAACCUUCGAAGCAAAUUCAAUUUAUAUGGUUCAUCCAAACCUUCGACUACUACAAGGUGUGACUUGCAUCACAAUCUCUUGCUUAAUAGUGUGGAAGCAAAAUUUGUAUAUUAGUCUCUCCCACAUUUUCAAAUUUCUAGUUUCCCACAAAAAAAAGGGAAAUUCAACAAAGCUUCAUCAAUGGAGGACAACUAUAAAUUCUCAAAAGCAUUAAGAUAGUGUGAAGCAAAAUCAAUUCGUGGUAUCCAACAAAGCUUCACCACAAAAGCUUCAUCAACAGAGGACAACUACAAAUUCUCAAAAGCUUCACACUAUCUUGAUCAAGAUAGUGUAAAGCAAAAUCAAUUUAUGGUACCCAACAAAAGCUUCAUCAAUGGAGGACAACUACAAAUUCUCAAAAGCUUCACACUAUCUUGAUCAAGAUAGUGUGAAACAAAAUCAAUUCAUGGUACCCAACAAAAGCUUCACCCAUAAAAGCUUCAUCAACAAAAACUUCAACUCCAAAGCUUCACCAACAAAAGCUUCAUCAAUGGAGAACAACUACAAAUUCUCAAAAGCUUCACACUAUCUUGAUCAAGAUAGUGUGAAGCAAAAUCAAUUCAUGGUACCCAACAAAAGCUUCAACUCCAAAGCUUCACCUACAAAGCUUCAACUCCAAAGCUUCACCUACAAAAGCUUCACCCACAAUAGCUUCACCCAUAAAAGCUUCACCAACAAAAGCUUCACCCACCACAAAAACUUCACCCACCACAAAAGCUUCACUUACAAAAGCUUCACCCAUAAAAGCUUCACCAACAAAAGCUUCACCCAUAAAAGCUUCACCAACAAAAGCUUCACCCACAAAAGCUUCCCCACCACAAAAGCUUCACUUACAAAAGCUUCACCCAUAAAAGCUUCACCAACAAAAGCUUCACCCAUAAAAGCUUCCCCCACCACAAAAGCUUCACCCACAAAAGCUUCCCCCACCACAAAAGCUUCACCCAUAAAAGUUUCACCAACAAAAGCUUCACCCACCACAAAAGCUUCAACACAAAAGCUUCACCUACAAAAGCUUCACACUAUCUUGAUCAAGAUAGUGUGAAGCAAAAUCAAUUCAUGGUACCCAACAAAGCUUCAACCUCAAAACUUCAACACCAAAGCUUCACUUACAAAGCUUGAAAAUAUAUAUAUAUAUUUUUUUUUGGAAAUUCAAAAAUUCAAAAAUUCAAAAAUUCAAAAAUUCGAAAAUUCGAAGAAAAAAAAAUUGAAAAAAUCGAAAAAAAAAAUUGAAAAAAAAAUUGCCUAGACCUCCUCUUCUUUGGGCCUAACAACUUUCAUAACAAAUAUAUAUGAAGAUGGAGUUUUGGGCUACCACUUAGAAAGGAAAUGCCUCAUUCGUCAACUCCCUCGACCAGAGACUUGAGGGACUCCUACCAUAUGCUACUGCACCUUGAUACUCGGAAAUCUCACGACUACUCAGUGACUUGGAUUUUUCAAGUUUCCAAACGAGAAGUUUUCCUCACUCGGGAAAUUAAGGGAGCACUACCUCAACCUACAUGCUUCACUCACAAAGCUUCAACAUACAAGCUUCAACAAAAGGAAAAAUUCAAAGAACUUAGUGAAGAAAGCAUUGGUGUAUUUAACACAAUACGUUGAAAUGAAGCAAAACUUGUUUAUUGAUAUCUCCGAUAAGUUACAAAUAUGUACAUAUACAUGAAUCAAAAUAAACAAACAAGAGAGAGCCUUCACAAAGGUUGCUCAGGACAAGUCUCAUCAGUCGACAGAGCCCCAGAAAGAGGACGCACCAGAGGGUGAUUAUUCGGAGCCUCAGUACUAGGCAGAACCCCAGAAGGAGGAGGCACCAAAGGUUGAUCAUUUGGAGCUUCAUUACGCGGUACAGCCCCAGAAGACGAAGGCAAUAAAUGCCUUUGGAACAAACCCACAAACCUCUGAUGAUAAAGUAAAAUCUGACCAUCAGAUUCCUGCAGCUGGUCGAGCUUCCUCUUCAUGUUUGUAGCAUAGUCAUGUGCGAGCCUGUGCAACUGUUUAUUCUCAUGCUUGAGCCCUCUGAUCUCCUGUUUGAGACUUAUCACUUCAGCCGCCAAUGAUUCAACUUGGCGGGUUCGAGCAAAUAGGCGUUAGGCCAUAUUAGACACAGAAUCUGCACACUGAACACUGAGAGCCAGAGAAUCCUUAACAGCCAACUCAUCAGACCGUUUGGAAAGUAGUCUUUUAUCUUUGGGAGUGAGAAGGUUCCUGGCCACCACCGCAGCGGUCAUAUCAUUCUUCAUCACAGAGUCCCCAAUGGUAAGAGGACCAGUAGGGGAUAAGAAGGAUGGGCGCCAUAUGUUGUCUUGAGAAGGCAUGGCUGCCUCUUCACCAAAGUUCAAGUCAAAACGACGGUCGGAUGGGCCAGACAUUCUCAGAAAUGAUGAAGGAGAAAUGAGGUGCAAUAAAUCUCUGAAGUAAGGGGAAAAUUCCUAUAAGCAAUAACUCUCUGAAUGUACUUCUUGCACACAAUUGGUGCCCUUAUAAAAGAAAGGGCAAUAGGGCCGUUGGUUCAAAAAUUGAAGAGGCACCACUCUCCGAAUUCUGAAAAAACACCACUUUCCACACGCAACAUCAGCUCCUCGGGUACCACAUACAACUUUGCCAAAAAUCUCUAACAAAGUUUAGACACAUAAAUUUUGAAGGUCCAGCUACCCUACUAUUACCCACAAAGGUAAAGGAACAGCACCACUGCUUGAUAAUUAGAAAGUCUCAAUGUGUGUCAACCUCCGUGCUCUGUGGCAAGGCAGGCUGGCAAAAAUGCCCAACCUUUACUCACAUUCGAGAAAACACUCCCAACAAGAAUGCUUGCUCAAAAAUCGAAGAAGCACAGCUCUCCGAAUCUCGGGAGCCAGACUCCCAACAGGAUUACGUGCUCAAAAAUCGAAGAGGCACCGCCCUCCGAAUCUCGAGAGCCAGACUCCCAAAAGGAUUACUUUCUCAAAAAUUGAAGAGACACUGCUCUCCGAAUCUCAAGAGUCAAAUUCCCAAUAGGAUUACUUUAUCAAAAAUCGAAGAGACCCUACUUUCCGAAUCUCAAGAGUCAGAUUCCCAACAGGAUUGCUUUCUAAAAAAUUGAAGAGGCACUGCUAUCCGAAUCUUGAGAGCCAGACUCCCAACAGGAUUACGUGCUCAAAAAUCGAAGAGGCACCGCCAUUCGAAUCUCGAGAGCCAGACUCCCAACAUGAUUACUUUCUCAAAAAUCGAAGAGACAUUGCUCUCCGAAUCUCAAGAGUCAGACCCUCAACAGGAUUGUUUUCUCAAAAAUCGAAGAGGCACCGUUCUCUGAAUCUUGAAAGCCAGAUCCCCGACAGUAUUGCUUGUUCGAAAAUCGAAGAGGCACCGCUCUCCGAACUUCGAGAGCCAAAUUUCCUUGGAUAAAGCUUGUUUGCAAUCUUCACACGUAACAUCAGUUUUCCAGAUACCACAGACCACUUUUUCAAAGUGCUCUGACAAAGUUAAAACACGUGAAGCUUGCAGCUCCCACUACAUUGCUAUGACCAAGAAUGGUAAAGGAAUAGCACUACUACUUAUUGUUAGGGAGACUCCUAUAUAUGUCGACCUCUAUCCUCCACAGCUAGGCAGACCUGCAAAUAAAAAAAAUGCUCAACUUUUCUUCACAUCCUAGAGGGCACGCUCAGUAGAGUCUCUCGAAAUACUCAGUUUUUUUCCUCCCGAUAAUACCUCUGUAAACAAGCCACACCAGAGCAAGAGUAUCUCAUAUCAUCAAGGUUAAAAGCAAGAGUAUCCCAUAUCAUGCUUUUUCCCUGUCUUUUCCUUUGGCCUUGUUCUUACCUACAAGACAAGGAGAAAGAGAGCAAUCAGUCAGCACUUGGAAUCAAGCCUCCAGUCAGAAACUAACUGCCUGGAACCCCUUGCCUGAUUACUUACCUAGCAUUGCUCUCAAGUACUCAUCUUCAACAUCUUAUACUUCCAGAAAAGAUACCAUAUCUGCCUGAGGAACAUAUAGGGCAAGUAAGAAUGAUACAAGGGAGCAUGUGGAGACAAGCGUAACAGAACACGUGUCGAUACAUCCACUACUUUGUCAACAGCAAAACUAUCCCAUAUCAUCAGGGUCGAACGUACUCUAGAUUUGAUGGACUUGUUUUGACCCUUAAAUUCUUGAGUCGGCCUUAUACUCUGGAGGAAACCAGAAAACCCUCCAGCCCAGUUCAAGAAUAAGCCUGUGGAAAGUUACUUCUUCAAAAGCAAAAGUACUCAUAUCAUCUCUUCUCAAUUUGCUUCUCCUUAUCCUUGUUGCUGUGUACGACAGAAGAAGAAGGAGAACAAUCAACCGGAAGCCGAAGUCGAACCUCCAAUCCAGGUUGCUUGCUUGGAAGUCUGAUUGCUUACCUUGUUUGUUACCUUAUUCGGCAAAUCUCCUAGCUCGAUGACUUGGGGGACUCCUACUAUAGGGUUUGUAUCGCACUUGACCAAGCCCGAAACUACAAGUAAGUUUCAAGUGAAAUUGAUACAUUACCUUGUGCAUCUUCAUCGGUUAAAGAUACCACCCCUGGAUGGAGGAAAAAUACUUCCAGAGAAGAUGCCACAUCUACAUAUGAGACAGAUAAGGCAAGUGAAAAUGAUACCACACUUCGGUACUUAGAAGUUUCGUGAUUACUCAAUGGCUUGGAUCUUGCAAGUCCCCAACCGAGGAGCUUCCCUCACUUGAGAACUUAAGGGAGCACUGUUUGUACCAUACUUGACCAAUCUCGAAACUACUGAGCACCGGUCAACGUUAUACCGUCAAUGACCCAAAAAAGUUUCCCUCCAACUAGGGGGCCAAUCACAGCGCGACACGUAUCGACAUCAAAAGCCAAUCAUAGCGCGACACAUGUCAACAUCAGAAGCCAAUCACAACACGACACAUGUCAAUGUCAGAAUGAAACUAGAAACUUUCUUCUAUAAAUAGAGAUCAUUCUCUCACAAUAUUUCCUAAUGUCAUUUGUACUAAAUCAUUCACUUGUACUCACUAAAGAAGAGCUUGAACCUAUGUACUUGUGUAAACCCUUCACAAUUAAUGAGAACUCCUCUACUCCAUGGACGUAGCCAAUCUGGGUGAACAACGUACAUCUUGUGUUUGCUUCCCUAUCCUUAUCCAUUUACAUACUUAUCCACACUAGUGACCGGAGCAAUUUAGCGAAGGUCAUAAACUUAACACUUUCUGUUGUACCAAAGUCCUCACCAAUUUUGUGCAUCAACAGUAAUAAUCAAAUACAACUUGCUAAAAUAAUAUUCAUCUGCCAACAAUGAAAACAUAGUGAUAAUGCAUGACAUGUUCAAAGCAUACAUCUAAUUGAGAAUACAAGUGGAAUGGCUAUUACAACGAUAUCAAAGCAGAAAGGAUGGCACGAUAUCACUGGUAGGGAAAUGUCUCGUAGGGAAAUGCCUCUCCGUCGCUCUGGUUGCAAUGAUUCCAUCUUUCAUGCCUUCAGGCUCAUACUUUCUUCCCCCGUCAGUGUAAAGGUGGAAAACAUACUUUAUAAAGAUGUAAAGUCGAAAACAUAUAUUGACAUAAGGUAAAAAAUAAGUACGCAAAAUAUGAUCGCGUCAACAUAGGUAUGUACUAACAUAUAGGUCGAAAAACUCGUACUGAAAGUCAAAACUGAAAAACGAAAGUGGGUUUCGCCUAAACAUACGUAACAUCACGCACUACGAGAAAAGUUAUCUUUGGAUCGAGCCCUAACAAUGACUACUUUGUAACAUCUAUCGUAGACGGGUCUACUUGCCCACUUGCUUAAUGAACCAAAUGAAUAAGCUAUCAAUAUCACAGUCUGCAGCCCGCAAUAUCGACAACACAUUGUUGUCUCAAUAAACAAAUAGUAAUUUCCCGAUGGUGCAUAAUUACCUGUUUGACCUGCAACGUGAGAGUGUGCAUAGAUCGUCCGAUUCUCGCCUCGAUUGCGCUAUCGUACCUUUCCAAAGCACACCAGUCAUAUCUGCUAGAAGUGUUUCGACAUCCACGUAAUUAUGAAAAAUAAGGUCCUGGAGUGAAGCAGUGAAAAAAUGUGUUAAGACAAACACAUAUCGUUGGAAAGAACUACUAGAGUACGAUAUGAUGUUUAUGAAUUGUAGCAAGAUAAUAAGAUGUGACAAUUCAUUUCUGUGUGAAGAUAGUGAUUGGUGAUGCAAUCCGCUAACCACCUGCACUACAACCUUCAUCAAAUUCUUACUAAAAGAUGGCUCAAACAUCAUACUCACAUGGAACUCUUCCUGAUAAAACUGGUAAGCUUGUGAAAAGGUUAUGCUCCUAACGUUCCUGUCCGAAUCGAUAUGAACUAGGCGCACACUUCAGCUGAGUCGAUUCCUCAUGAAAUCCUUAAGGAUUGAGUGAGAAACCAUGUCGAGAAGGCCAAAAGAACACUCAAGAAUUUGAGGGUCAAAACAAGUCUAAGGAUAUUUCGUAUUUCGCAACUCCUUGUGAGGAUUUUCAAUUUCCAAAGAUCUCAACCCCUUUUGGAAAUUGAUGAGAAUAGCGCCUGCUACCAAAGGGUCUCCUAAGAAAAGUAUAAAAAUCUAAACAAAGUCAACGCUCAAAGGAUUUGGUGUGAAGUUGAUAGUCAAUGGUUAGGGAACUUAACUUUGUCGUUGGAGUAAGCAAGAAAGUUAUCGUUAGAACAAUCAUCAAGAACUAUUCUAAAGAUCCACAUGAAUUUCCUCAGCAGGAAUGAGUCCGAGAACAUUGAUUCGAUCCCACCAACUACCACUUACUAAAUGUCGUCAUAACUAAAGCUGACUCGCUUUCUCCAACACGCACUUCAAAGGUUUCGAGUAAUUGCUGAUUAGUCGAUUUUAUACUAUAUAUUAUUCCUUAUUCUUGGUAUAUUUUGGUUAUUAUUUUGGUGAAAUUUUGAUGCUUUGCUAUGUGUUUUUAAUGUAGGACAUGCGAACUUGUUUUGAGCAUAAAGUAAUCAAACGGUGGAAUUUUUUAGUGAUUCCAAUUGGAGCAGGUUCGUGAGUCUGUCAAGAAGAAUGUGUCAAAAUUCAUAAUUUUAUCUCGAAGCAUCAGAUCGUGGCGAAUUAAUUUAUGCCCAGCAUGUAGUGCUAGCAGAUUGGGCUGCAGAGCUUAUUUGCAACUUUUGAGCUGGAAGAUGAUAGAUUUUGGACUUGGGCUCUUCUUGGAACUUGAAGAGGAGGUUCUGAUCUUUAGUUUGAGUUGUUUUGGAGCCCUGAAGGUCCAGAAACGUGGCUGUUUCUCUACUGGGAAAAUUUCCUAGUCAGAAUGGGAAUGUAAUUCCUAGUUAUCUUUUGUUAUUUUAUUUCCUAGUUUUUAGAAAACCUUUUCUACGAGGGUUUUAAUUUGGAGUAGUAUAAAUAAGGCUUUUAAGCCACUAGGGUUAGGGGGAGAAGGCCCGCAUUAUUUUGGAGAACUUCAGACUUUUUACCUACAAGGUGUUUUCAAUCAUUUUUUCUAGUUAAUAUAUUUUCUUUAGUUUUUGUAGUUGUUCGUAACUAAUUUCCGUUUUCUAGGGCGAAGCCAUAAGCCUUAGCAUGAAUAUGUGAUUUUAUUAAUUUGCUUAUGAAUGGAUGCAUGCUUGCUUUGAAUUAUUAAUCACCGCGAUUAAAACUAUCUAAUUGUCUUAGUGAUUCGCAACCAUUAGGAUUUUUAGACAAGUAAUUUGAUGUAGUUUCUGUUGGAACAUCACCCUGAAAUUGAGGAGGGCUUCUUGGGAUUAAUAAUUGUAAGUUCACUUAAGGCGAACAUCACGCUCUUAAGGGUUGCAUGGUUUUUCAAAUGGUUUUCACAAAGCUUAAUGAGUCUUGCAUGUUUAUAUUUGAUCUGAACAUUACAGACGGGCUGCAUGUUAGAUAUACGUUUUCGCUUAAAGAUCACGAGGAAAAUAUGCAUUAGGAAAACCUAACCUUCAAAGCAUGUGUGGAAAUUCGUAAGUAAUUGGUAAAAUUGCAUAGGAUUGUUAAGGGGACGGUGGAACCCUAGGCUUUUACAGAUUGAUUUUCUUUAAAUUGUUCUCUAGUUAAUUUAUUUAAUUGUCUUUAAUUUAAAUUCGUUUUUAUUAUUUUAAAUUCCAAAAUCAUCCUUUUCACAACUUUGUUCUAAAUAAUUAGCUAAUGAUUAGUAUAAAUACAAAUUAUUCAUUCAAUCCCUACGGAAACAACCUUGCUUGAGUUGCUAUACUACAAGAACCUUGUACUCUUGCAAGUAUUUUUAAAUGUUUUUAUCCCUACUUUUGUAGGUGGUAAAAAUCCUUAUCAAUUACCACUAAGACAUGACUCUGCCCGCCAUUCCUGGGAACGCAUGUUGCAGAAUACAACACCGCUUCAGAUCUUUAGUUGGUCUUAACUGACUCGUACCACUAAGAUUUUUUCGUUUCUCCAACACUUUUAUGUAGAUCCGACUCCGCCUGUAAUUCCUAGAGAACGCAUGUCGCAGAGUGGCAUUGCCAUUUCGGAUCUUCAACUGGUCUUAACCAAACUUUCUCUCACUGAGAUUUCGAAAUCAUGUCACUUCAAUGUAAAACCGACUCUGCCUGCAAUUCCUAGGGAACGCACGUUGCAGAGUAUCGGUUUGAUGUUGAAAGUCAUCCAACAAUCCAAUUUGUCAUCGAUGAGGCACAAUCCCGACACGAGUUUCUUCUUCUUCAAUAAGAUGUGACAUUUCAAGUCUAAUGACGAUUGCACAACGUGUCGAAAAACAACAUAUUCGGAAGUCAUGACAUCCAAAUGAUGUCAUCACUGACAAACUACUAGUGUACGAUGUGAUCCUAUGUAUGCUUUGGACAAACCGAGCUCUGAUACCAAUCUGACACGCCCCGAUGACAUCCAAAUGAUGUCCGAGAGACAUCGGGAUGGUCAUGUGUUGGCUGACACCCGAGGGUGACGAAAGCCAUUUAAUGAAUGCAUAUGCUAAGAACAUGUAAAACAUGCAUAUAAAUUUCGCUCGAAAUACUAAUAGUAAUAAUCAAAUACAACUUGCUAAAAUAAUAUUCAACUGGCAACAAUGAAAAUAUAGUGAUAAUGCAUGACAUGUUCAGAGCAUACGUCUAAUUGAGAAUACAAUCGGAAUGUGCUAUUACAAUGAUGUCAAAGCGGAAAGGAUGGCACGAUAUCAUUGGUAGGGAAAUGCCUCGUAGCUCGGAUCGUAAGCCUCGUUCUUAUGUCCUUAGGGGGCGCAAAACAAAUAUGAGUGGACCAAGUUAAUAUAUAAAUAGUACGAACAUAAUUAUUCAACCACGUACGAACCCCCAAAGUUUUAUGAAAACUCAAUAGCAUAAUAUGUAAUAGGUUUUCCGAAAACCCUAGCAUGCCAUAGAACUUCAUAAAACAUAUAUCAUAUAUAGUGUGCUAAAUAGUGGUAUCAAGAUCAUCCAAAGCCAUCUAUAAAUGCUCGGCCGAAGCCAUCUACCAACGCUCGGCCGAAGCCAUCUACAAACGCCCAGCUGAAGCCAAUAUAAACAUCUCCCGGUCGUAGCCAUCUACCAACGUCCGGCCGAAGCCAAUAUAAGUAUCAUCGCCCGUAGGCAAAACAGCGACCACUAGAUAAGCACAAAAACAUAUAUAUAAUUUUCAAACAUAAGUAUAUAUAUCUCAACGGAGCUCAGUAGCUCAAACAUCAUAGUAUAUAGUCAUCCAUCAUAUAUACUGCAAAGAAUGUGAAAACGAUAUAGUAUGGUAUUCAAAAAUAUCCUCAGUAAAGCAUGAUAAUUAUAUAAAGGUAAAUCCAAUUUACUCCUAAUGUUCCAUAAAACAUAUGCAUUAAAUCAUGCUUUUCAAGUAUGCAAUUCUAACAUUAAAAUAUGCAUUUUAGAAGGGUUCCACUCACAGAUACUCCAUCGUCGAAGAGCCAUGCAAACCAGCGAAUACGAAAACGCCACAAAUAAUUACCCCUAAGCACAUAAAGGGUCCAAUUAAUAAAAAUUUAUUCAAAUGAUUGAAUUUGGGAAAACGGACAUCAAAAACGGAUCCAGGACAUCAAAAUUAGGCUAGGAGGGGUCCUGGGUGAAUUUCGAAAAGUCAACAAAAGUCAACAAAGAAUAUUCCAGAGAAUAUUCAACCAGAUCUGGGUCGGGUUAGCAGGCGAGUCAACUAAAUCAAGUCAUACAAAAACCAAAGUUAUAGUAGUCAACAUGAUGAAGAGAUUGAUACCUUGGACGUCGGCUAACUCACCGUGGUUUGAGUGAAAAUCACCUAAAAAAGGGACGUGCUCACUAGAAAACUGGGGAAGUUUUCCCCCGUGAGGUUCCUACGUCCAAACAUCGAUAAAACUUCUUAAAAAUACUUCUAAACAUACACUAAGACAAGAUCUAUAACUUUUGGAUAAGGUUAAAGGCUUACCUUUGCCAGAGGAGGGGGAAACUCGCCGGAGAAAUUCGAAUAGUGUAGGCCGAGAGAAAGGGAGGGGUUUAGGGUGUUCUCUUUCGAUUCUAAGCUCACUAAGGUGUUAAUGGAGAUGUUGGUGUUGUUGUGGUGUUGUUUGUUGGUGAGAAAAGCCCUCGGAAGGGGUUGAGAUAGAGAGAGCUGAGAGAGAGCUUAGAGAGAAAAAGAGAAAGAGCUUUUUUAGAAAACAAAAGAAAAAGGGAGAGGGGGACUCACGGGUCCAGAAAGGAAAAGAGGAAAAAGGGGUUGGGGGGCUCAGAAAACAAAAGAAAAAGGGAAAGGGAGACUCACGAGUCCAGAAAGGAAAAGAUGAAAGAGGGGUCCGAGGGGGGGGAACCAAAAAGGGAAAAGGGCCCCAUGUGGCACACAAAAUAAGACCCAAAAGCACAAAUAAAAAUAUCUAGCCAAUUUCCAGAUAAAAUUACCACAAAACCCUCCCAAUUCAAAAUCCAUUUAAAUAAUCGGAACAAGUUGUUACAGCACAUCCUUUAUUUGUUUCUAACCAUUGGAUUAGAAAAAUAGAAGAAUCAGGAGUUAAAAUUUAGAAGGGCAUGCAAAAAUUACUCCUCUUUCGGAUUCGGUCACAUAGGUUAGUUGUUGCUCCUAUUGACUUGUUUGACAUUGAAAUUAGUUACCAAACACGGAAAAACAUAAAUUAACCAUACUCAAGUCCCAACUGAAAAUUAGUAUAUAUCAAUACACAUUUCUUAAAUAACACAAAUGUAACCUUGUUAGACCAUCUCCAAUUAUUAGGUUAAAACCUAAAAGUUUUAACCUAAAAAUAUGUUUUCUGCUCCAACCCUUCUGGUUAAAUUUUUGGUCUGAGAUCAAUAAAGAAUGAAUUUAUGAUUCUUAAAGUAACUUUAAAAAAAAAAUUAUGUAGACUAUCCAAAUUAAUUUUAUGAACAUUUUAACCUAAAAAUAUUUAGGUUCCAAUAAAUAUUGAAAAAUCACUAAACUGACAUCAUGAAACUUGUAGAACACUAUGAAAGAGUAUGAAACACAUGAAAGAAUUUUUUUUUUUAAUUAUUUUAACCUUUGGAUUUAAAUUUGGGCCAUUAGAUCUUUAUCUUUACCUUUAGAUUUGAUCAUAUUAGAUCUUAGCCGUUGAAUUCAAUAAAUUUAUAAAUAUAAAACUAAAAAAAUACAUAUAUGGUGGGCAAACCCACUAAAUUUGCCCCCAAAAAUAAGUUUUGGGUUAAAACUCAUAUUUGGUACAGGGGUUGGAGCAAGUUAAGGUAGGUUUAGAACCUAAAAUUUGAGUUUUACUCCAAGGAUUAGAGUUGGUCUUAGUAUGACUACCGGAAACCGGAAGAGCCAAUUUUACCAUUGGCAAUUUGAUUCUGCAAGCAAUAACUUAUAGACAAUGGUGCGUUAUAGGAAUACAUCAUCCUCACUAAUUCUGUGAGGGGAAAGGCGAAAUUUUCAAUCCUAUGGAAACCCGAAGACGGACAACUGUAAUACACAAACAAAAUAUAGAAGUAUCAAAGAAUGCACACGCAGACCGAAGAACGGAAAGACGAUUCCAGGAGAAAUAGAUUGUUGGAACCAGUCACACUAAACCCUAGCAAUAACAACCCAAACAUGUCAUCUCAUUUCAAGUCUACAAGUAAUCAUGGAUACACAAGUCAACCGCCAGUUUUCCAGCUCCUUGAUUUAAGGCACUUAACUUGUUGAUUACUUCUUAGUCUUGGAUUUGAUGUAAAUCACCUUAAAUUAAGGAAAAGCUUGUAUCCUAGGUUUAAAUGGUCUCUACGGUUCCAUGUAAAGAUGGUUACUUCUAACCAUUUGUUUCUCUCGCCUAUAUAUACUGCAUUGUACAUUCAAAAUUACUUAUGAAAUAGAAAACACUUUGAAACCAAAAAUCUACAUGGUAUCAGAGCAGUGUCAUCAUUGACCUCUCUCCCCGUUUAAUUUCCCCUACUAUUCUUGUGAGCUUCUGUAAUGGCUAUGGAAAGCUUAGUUAAUCUUGAGGGAGAAAGCUCGCAGGUAGCUCUUUCGAGUUUCUUAGACUCUGAAGUUAAUACUAACCAGCGUCUAUGCUCGGUGUUGCUGAAUGGGCUCAAUUACCUUCCUUGGUCUAGGGCAAUUUCACUUGCUCUAGAAAGAAGGGGAAAAUUAGGGUUCAUCAAUGGAAGUGUUGAAACUCCAUACUCAUCUUCUCAGGUCUAUGAAGCAUGGCUGUGCAAGGAUCAGUUUGUUAUGUCUUUGUUGCUCAACACCAUGGAGAAACAUGUUGCUGAGAUAUUUAGUUAUUCUGAAUCUUCACAAGAUUUGUGGAAAUCUGUGAAGGAUAUGUAUGGAAACCAAAACAACUAUGCUUGGGUAUUCCAGUUGAAAAGGGAUAUUGCUUGCCUCCAGCAAGAAAAGAAGUCUUUUGUCUAACACCUUGGCAGUUUGAAGACUAUGUGGAAUGAGCUUGAUGUUUACCUCUCUCGCACCACGGAUCCUACUAUUCUUUUUAAAAGAGCUGAGGAGGAUAAGAUCUACCAACUGCUCGCAAGCCUCAGCUCAGAAUAUGAGGAUAUCAGGAGUCACAUAUUAAUGAGCAUGGAGCUACCAUCAUUCAAGAUUGUUUGUGCCACGGUGCAACGUGAAGAAGCAAGAAAGAGGGUGAUGAAUCUAGAGCCUAAUCCCAAGUUAUCUGAGGCUCGAGGGUAUGUCGCAAACCACAGGAACCAUGAUGCCAAAAUGAACAAAGGAAAGAAUCCAUAUCUAAAGUGUAAGUAUUGCAAUGCUUCUGGUCAUACAGAAAAGAGGUGUUGGAAGCUGCACCCCGAACUCAAGCUUAAAUUCAAAUACAACAGGAUAAUGGUCCCAAGAUCCUCAUCAGUGGCUCCUCUCAAAGCUCAGCAUGUUGCCAACCAUGCUACCAGCUCACUCACUCAUGGCUUGACGGAUUUCACAACCAAUCCUGUUACUCUUAUCAAUGAGUUUGUAGCUUACUUGCAAACCAAGGAUCAUGGAUAAGCUGUACAAACGUCAAAGGGUGAAGGGAACAAACAAAAUGCACUUCUUGGACAUUUUGCAGGAUUUCUUGCUGAUCAUGAUCAUGUUCCGCGAGAUGCAGUCUCAGGUAUCUUCAAAGCAUUUUCAACUGCAUUACAAAUUAGUUUUAAUUAUGAUUGUUGGAUAAUUGACUCGGGUGCCUCUGAUCACAUGACAAAUAAAGCCUCAAACUUGCAUGAUUUUCAAGUCUUGUCAAAACCAUCUCAUGUGUCAGUUGCAAAUGGAAAAAAUGUCUUAGUCAUGGGAAGAGGAAAACUAGGUUUAGUCUCAAACACCAUAGAGUCUACUACCUUAUACGUACCCUUAUUUCCAUUUCAGUUGAUGUCCGUAGGAUAACUCACUAACACUCUAAAUUGCCUAGCCAUAUUCUCACCCACAAAUGUAAUUUUUCAGGAUGCUCUCACCAAUUUUUGCAAGAAGCCUUUUUUGUCAAAAGCCUUUCAAGUUCAACCAAGCUCUUCCAAGGAUCAACAACUUUGGCACAAAAGGCUAGCCCAUCCAUCUGAAGUUGUUUUGUCAAAACUAUUCCCCAAGUUUUGUCACCCAUUGAUUAAGUGCGAUACUUGUCAUUUCUCAAAGUUUGCUAGGUUACCUUUGGAACCUCAAUGUCUAAGUCUAGCAUACCUUUAAAAACUUGUUCACACCAAUGUAUGGGGUCCUACUACUGAAUCAAUGGAAGGUUACAAAUAUUUUGUCAUAUUUGUGGAUGAUUGUACUCAUGUCACUUUUCUUUAUCUCAUGAAAGCUAAAAGUGAAGUUUCAACUAUCUUUCAAGACUUUCAUUCACUUGUGUCAAACCAAUUCCACUCAACUAUUAAAACACUAAGAUCAGAUAAUGGUAUUGAGUUUUUAUCCAACACCAUGAUUAAAUACUUGAGCUCAAAAGGAAUUGUACAUCAAACUAGUUGUGUGGGAACCCCAUAACAAAAUGGGAUUGCUGAACGGAAAAAUCGAGACCUACUUGAAAAAAACUUGUGCAUUGAUGUUACAUAUGAAUGUUCCAAAGAAGUUUUGGUCAUAUGUAGUCUUGACAGCUACAUACCUCAUCAAUCGACUCCCAAGUCGUAUUCUACGUUUUUAAUCUCCUUGUGAAACUCUAGAAAAAAGGUUUAUCAACAUGUCUCACUUGAAAGUGUUUGGUUGUUCAUGCUUUGUCCAUGUGCAACGUCAACAUCGUGACAAAUUGGAGGCUAGGGCUGCAAAAUGUGUGUUUAUAGGUACUCAUCUACACAAAAGAGGUACAAAUGCUUCAAUCCCCUCACCAACAAGUGUAUUGUCUCCAGAGAUGUCUUUUUUGUUGCAGACACUCUUUUCUUCCAACCACAAAGGCAUGUUCUUGGUGAGGGGGAGUCUUUGCAUGACUUGUUCUUGUUACCUAUGUACACAAAACAAGAUGAUGAUGUUCCAGCAAGACAUGACACUCAACUCAAUGAGGAAUUGCACCAAGUCACAAACCCCUCAAAUCCACAGGUCCUCUCAUAAGAAGACGUUGAGCAUGGCUCUAAAGAUCAAGUUGACAAUGUACAAUUAUCACAGCCAACUCAAGGUGCACGAAGAAAUCCUGCUCGGACAAGAAAGCCUUCAGCGAGGCUAUUGGACUAUGUCACUUAUGCCUCAAGGUACCCUAUCUAUGAUGUACUACAUUACUCAAAGUAUUCGACUUCUCACCGUGCAUUUCUCACUGAAGUCUCUAAGACUGCUGAACCAAGAACAUUCUAAGAAGUUACUUCCUUGCCACAUUGGAAACUAGCUAUGGCUGAAGAGCUAAAUGCAUUGGAAGAAAACAAUACCUGCAGCAUUGUCAAGUUGCCUCCAGGAAAGAAGGCUGUUGGAAGCAGGUGGGUUUACAAAACCAAGCUCAAGGCAAAUGGUUCAAUAGAAAGACAUAAAGCCAGACUUGUGGCUCGUAGCUUCACUCAGACAUUCAAGGUUGAUUACAAGGAAACCUUUGCCACAGUGGCAAAAAUGAAUACUGUUAGGGUAUUACUCUUAAUAGCAAUUAACUGUGGGUGGUCUUUGUACCAAAUGGAUGUAAAAAAUGCCUUUCUCCAUGGAAUACUUCAAGAAGAAGUCUACAUGCAACCCCCACCAGGUUACACUCAAGUGGAAAAAUGAAUGGUUUGUAAGUUACAUAAGGCAAUCUAUGGACUAAAGCAAUCUCCGAGAGCAUGGUAUGCCAAGCUAAGUUUUUUCUUAGAAAAGGCAGGGUUCAUAAGAAGCAAUGUUGAUUCCUUGUUAUUUAUUCGAAGUGGUUCAAGUGGCAAACUUGUGGUUCUCAUCUAUGUUGACGAUCUAAUCAUCACUGGUGACGGUGAGAGUGAAAUCAAAGCCUUGAAACACUCCUUACACCACACCUUUGCCAUCAAAGAUUUGGUAGAUUAAAGUACUUUCUUGGCAUUGAAAUGGCCAAGUCUCACAAAGGGUUGUUUCACAGUCAAAGAAAGUAUGUUGUUGAUUUACUCACUGAGGCUAAGCUCACAGAUUGCAAGCUUGCCACCACACCUAUUGAUAGCAAAAUGAAGAUUGAUUCUACUGGAGAACCUCUCCUUAACAUAAGCUACUACCAAAGAUUGGUUGGUAAGCUUAUCUACCUCACUAUCACACGUCCAGUCACCUAUGUUGUCAGCUUAGUUAGUCAGUUUAUGCAUGCUCCCACAAUGCAACAUCUUCACCUUGUUAAACGUAUUCUUCGUUAUCUCAAAGGUUCAUUGGACAGAGGCAUUCUUAUGUCAAACAAUCAGUCCACAGAAAUUAGUGCUUACAUCGAUGCAGACUAGGCAGGUAGUACAAUUGACAGAAAAUCUACCAUUGGAUAUUGCACUUUGGUUGGGGGGAAACCUUGUGACAUGGAAGAGUAAGAAGCAAACUGUUAUAGCACGAUCUAGUGCUGAAGCGGAGUAUCGAGCAAUGGCAGCCACUGCAUGCGAACUAAUUUAACUUAAAGGCUUGGUUUCAGAUUUAGGGUUCUCACAUCAAGCCCUCAUGUCUCUCAUGUGUGAUAACCAAGCUGCCAUGCACAUUGUAGCUAAUCCUAUUUUUCAUGAAAGAACCAAGCACAUUGAGGUGGACUGCCAUUUCAUCCGAGCUCAAGUUCAAACACAAGUCAUUCAGACUCAAUUCACUUGAAGCCAUGAUCAAUUGGCUGACUUAUUCACUAAGGCUUUACCCUCUUCUCAAUUACACAAGCUCUUGAGCAAGCUUGGCUCGACUACACUUCACGAUCCAGCUUGAGGGGGAGUGUUGGAACCAGUCACACUAAACCCUAGCAUCAUGGAUACACAAGUCAACCGCCAGUUUUCCAGCUCCUUGAUUUAAGGCACUUAACUUGUUGAUUACUUCUUAGUCUUGGAUUUGAUGUAAAUCACCUUAAAUUAAGGAAAAGCUUGUAUCAUAGGUUUAACCGGUCUCUAGGGUUCCAUGUAAAGAUGGUUGCUUGUAACCAUCUGUUUCUCUCACCUAUAUAUACUGCAUUGUACAUUCAGACUUACUUAUGAAAUAGAAAACACUUUGAAACCAAAAAUCUACAUAGAUACUGCAUGAAAAUAAGGAAGAAGAAGAAAAAGCAGUAUCUCCAGCCUUGAAAAUGGGGGUGCUACUAGGAGGAGGAUCACCUGUAAGAAUGAACAGAAAACACGUAUACAAGUUUAAUGCAAUUUGCAAAAGGCGAUGCUUCUGUUGGCCAUAGAAUGAAAUCAGGUGAUAAAAAGCUCUUCCGAUUUGUGCUAUCACUUCAGGAGUUUCAACUGGUGAUGCCACAACUUGAGCAAAUACAUUAACCAAAUCUGGGACUAGCAAAAGGAUCUGCUUGGAAAAUAGAAUGAAUCGGUAAGAAAACUAUGGUCACCUCCAUAAAGAAAAUGGAUAAGAAAACAAGAAAAACAGAAAAGACCAAGUAAGUUCACCUUCUAGGAUUACCCGAUACACAGGGAGCUUCCAUAGAGGGAUCCCACAUAGUUUGUAUGAUUCCGUACACAUAUAUUAUAAAUGUGUGUGUAAAGCAGUGUGAGCUUUGAAGAUGAAAUCAAAGUUCAUAUCUAUAAGCACAAGAAUAUUCAAUCUUCCUAAAUAAUCUACAUGGCACAGAUUCAAUAUUUUGGUCCGGAAGUGGCAAUAAGUUGUUGGGAUCUAAUCCAUUGUCACUCGAACAUAAACCUGCAUGCUCAACCAUAUAUACCAAACACAUGCAGAUGAUGCCAUGAUGGUGAAGGCCUUGAAGUUCACGCCCUUUGACCAACACCCGUAUCGUUAUCUGAUAACUGCAUGUUUAAGGGUCGGUGAGGAGGGUUUCAGAAUUGGAUGAAUUCUUGGAGAGAAAUGGAGAGGUGUUGUGUCGGUUGGGGGUGGGUGGGUGAGGCAGAUGGGAAAAAAUAUUUGUAAUCCUUAAAUAUAAUUUGAUCCUCGCCCGGUGUGCUGAACAAGAUUCGUUCUUCUCCUGCCAAAUAGAGUGGGUCUGAGAAUAUAGUGGUCUCCCUAUUAUAAAGACUACAGGGUUCAUAUAAAAAUUCAAAGCCCCCCAGAUUCCCAUAUAUUGGCUCCUCCACGCACGCCAUUUUGGACUCUAAAAGCAGUGUACGUAUAGUGCUGAAGAAAACAACACGCAGAUGAUGGUGAUCGAUGAACCAACACCCUUACCGUUAUCUGAUAAUUAAUUGCAUGUUUUCACAGUGGCUACUAUUCAUCAUUUUUUUAUAGUAGGGUUGGUGGGGGUUUUUUAAUUGGAUGAAUUAUUGGAGAGAAAUAGAGGGGUUAUGUCAGUAGGCGUGCAACACAAGAGAAAAAAGAUUUACAUGUUUUACUCUACGUACAGAUAUAAUUUGGAUUGGUUGAGAGUAACAUACAGCUUGCCGUUCAAUAUAUAUAUAUAUAUAUAUAUAUAUAUAUAUAUCAUUAAGAGUAGAGCCUCAAAACCUAUCAGUUAGCUAGCUGGUGAGAAGAAAAAGAUGGCUUCCAGGACCCAAACAGCGGCCAAAAUUCCAGUAGUAGAUUUCUCCCAAGAGGAUUGCUGGAAGUCAGGGACAAGUUCUUGGCUCUCAGUACGCAGAGACGUUUGUAAUGCUCUCGAAGAGUUUGCCUGUUUCCUGGCAGUCUUCCCAACAAAGUUUCCCGGGAGCUUAAUGACACCAUGGUUGGGACAUUCAACGAGUUGUUUGAUUUCCCCGACGAAAUUAAAGCACAAUUUCCUCAGGAUAAACCUCUAGUUGAGGGUUACGUAAGGCUGCCUACCCGUGAAUCCAUGUCAUUUCGUUCAAGCACUGAAAAAAUAAAGAACCUCACACGUCAACUUUGGCCGGAAGGAAAUGACCAGUUUCGGUAUAAAUUACUGCACAUUUCAAUAGUUUUAGCAGUUUUUUCUACAUCUAGAUACUUACUGUUAUAUGUUUUGUUAUCAACACUUUUGAUUUCUUUAUCAACAAGCUAAUGCGAAUCUGUCCUUAAACAGUUAUACUUGUUCUUCCUAAUAAUAAUAAUUUGUUCUUUAUAUCUUGGGCAGUGAGAGUGCUGAUCUGUAUUCAAAAGUGAUGACAGAAUUAAAUCAAGUUGUGACAAAAAUGGUAUUUGAAAACUACAAGGUAGAGAAAUACCACGAUGAUCACAUUCAAUCGACCAUGCCCAUUACCCUACUUAUAAAAUAUGAUGAACCCAAGACAGAUGAAACUGAAACUGUUCUACACAAUCAUACAGACAUGUGUUUUACUACCAUACUCCAUCAAGAAUCGUAUGGUGUUGAGAUAAGCACAAAAGAUAACGAGUGGAUUGGUUAUGAUCCUCUGCCUUCAUCAUUAUUAUUCCUAGCAGGUGAUGGACUUCAGGUGCGUCAACACCCUUUCAUUAAUCUUGCUUAGUUUCAUGGAUUUUAGCUCUCACUCUUCAUGGAUAUGUCGUUCACGCAUCCCUUUUGUAGGGCUCAGUUCUCAAUGUGUUUCAACAAUUUAACCAUCUAUCAUCAAGGUCUUCUCUCAAAUAUAUUCUUCUCAAAAAUUACCCAAAUCCGAAAUCAUAUGAUUGUUGGAUUAAAUGAUAGUCAUUUUAGUGUUUCUUUGAAGAACUAUAUUCGUCUUUUUUCUUGAUUACAAUUGGAUCUCUUAAUUGUUUUAGAUUUGCCUAGUUUUUUUUUUACUUUUUUUGGAAAGGAUAAUCUAUAAAUAAUGAAUUAAAAUAUAAAUGAUUCGGAUUGUUAAAAAAAGUUAUGAAAUGGUCAUCACAAGAUGUCAAUUAAAUAAGCUUUAUUUGAGGGAUAACAGAAGUUUAUAUAUAACCUAAGAACUAUUACAUGACGGAAGUUAGCAAUGUAUGUGCCAAAUUAGCAAAACAAUAAGCGGUUAUGUGGCUUCCUAAAAAUGUGAUUAAUCAUUGAUGUAUAUUCAAACUAACCUAAUAAUAGAUUAACUUAAACCAAUUUUAACUCGCAAGCACACGACUCAAUAGUAGUAUAGAUAUGCAAGUACGAGGUCAAUUUUGCAGGAAUUGCGUUAAAACCAUUUAAACCAAUAAUUACACCAAACUUAAUUAUACAAACGAAUUGAAUUUAAGGAUUGAUUAAAACUAAAAUUAACAAGAUAAACUAAACCAAGACAAUGAUGAAUUUUGAAAAUUAAGAUAUGAAGGCACUAGGACAUCAAAUCCACCACUAGUAAUCCAACCUAGCUUCUAUAUUACCUAUCCGUUGAUUAAUUCAAUUGAUGUUGUUGAAUAGUUUUCCUUACGCAUAAACUACCAUUAUGGUAUUUAGGCUCACCCGUAUAUCUCAACACGCACCUUGUCUAUGGCAUUUAGUACAAUUAUGAACGUACAAAAACUCAUUACAUUUUGUGAAAAUCUUGAAAACCAUGCAAACCCUAGGAAGGUUGUUUAGUUACACAUGGUCAAAAUAAUAACAAUAAGUCAUGAAAAAGAACAAAUAGUACACGAAAUAACAACGGUGAUGUGCUCCUAAGCACUCCUUUCUCUUUUUGACAAAUUUGUGUGUAUGGUGACAUGUAGAGAGAUCAUAGGACAUAUAUUUAUACUAAAAAAACACUAAAAGGUCUGGUAAAAACUUUCCUAGAAAAACAAAAUCCAAAACGAUAUUGGACACAAACUAAGAAAGAAUUCUUCUUGACUUGGAGAACAUGUCAUCCAUCUUUCAUGCUAGAUUUGGGGUCAUUCCACCUUCAGUUAUGUAGAAUUCUGAAAAAUAGGAAACUUAUAGCUCUAUGUCUAGGCAUAUAAGGCACGACACUUGAAAAAAUUGGAAAAGCCUUCAAAUCUUCAUUCUCUCAUAGUUGCACAAUUUUAACGAGAAUGUAACUUUUAUGGGAUUGAUUUGUAGAACUGGAAUGUUUGACUUCAUGAAAAAACGUGAAAGUUGAACAUAACUAUCUUAAUCCUCUUAAGCUUCCUUCCGAUUGACUAUAAAAAAAUCUCCGAAAAGUCUAUUUAUGAAAAAAAAUAUAUCAUAAGUUCGCAAAUUGACUAAAUUAAUAAAAAGAAUUAAAAAGACUCUAUAAAGGCCAAUUCCUAACGAAUCCUUAAAAAAUAUGAAUACAUUAUCGGGAGGACAUACUUCUCAUAAAAAAAUAGUCAACCAAAUUCCGACAACAUGAAUAUAUAUACCCUCGAAAAUAACCAUUCUAUUUCCAACGAUAAUAUCGUUUAUCGUUAAGACGAUCGACGCCAAGCGGCAUCAAAUAAAGUACAAUUCAAGCGGCCAUUGGGACUAUUUUUGAAUGCAUUAUGUAUGUCGAAAAAAAAAAAAUUCAUUUCCUACGACUACGAAGUUUUGUUGAAAAUUCUUUCGACACAAGUAACCGACCAAAUCAAACUGAAUUGCGAUAAUUGAUUGAUUGUGAAUAGAAUAUCAUCUAGCUAGCUACGAAAUUCAGUUGAAAAUUAUCCUCAGUAACGGGGCAGAUCAAUCAAGUAUCUUAAUUGACUGUGGAAAGAAUAUCUAGCUAUUAAUAAUUAAACGAAUUAAUUUAUAAAAUAUAUAAAAUAAAAUAAAAACACAUAUUUUCAACAUAAGAAGGGAUUUUGAAUUUUUAUGAACAAGGCAUCAAGAAGCCUAAUUAAGUUCAAGCUCUGUAACCCUUAAAAUAAUAAAAUAUAUGCAGAUUGCAACGAGCAUACGUAGGCCAGUUAUGCUUUUGUAAAUUGGAAAUUACAGAUAAUCUUCCUCCUCACAAACCCUAAAAACGAAAAUUGAAAAGCAAACUAAAAGGACUCCGAAUCUCACCUCGGAGCUUCGUCGAUUGGGCUGGAAUUGGGUUCUUCCCCUUCCCGGAUCCUUGUCCAGCGAGGGACUUGGACUUGGACUUAGCCUUCGCCUUCGACGUGGCUUUGGUUCGGCGGUACAUGGUUUUGUCAGAGAGAGAUUGCAGUUGCACGAGUUCUUUUUUAUUUUGUUUUGUUUUAGUUGGAUUAUAUGGUAUGCUAAACCUUACUUAAAUACUAAACCUUCAAACUGGAAUUUGACUAUAAUACCCUUCAUAUUUAAUUUGAUUAUCUCCGUUUUUUUGUUGGGAAAUUUUAUUUAAACCCAUGCAACUUCUUUUUACACCAAACUUAAAAUUAACUGUCUAUUUUACCCUAUUGUAUAAUUACUAUUAAGUAAAAAAUGAAAUUAAUAAUAAAACUCAAAUUUAUCAAUAAACCCGAACACUAUAAUUAAACCAUACAAUCAUUCUUUGUUUACCCUACGUUCAUUCUAGCUAAAACCCUAAUAGCUCUCAUAAAGAAAAAUAAGUUUUUCUACUGAUGGAUGGUGAUUUUGAAGGUUUGAAUCCUCCAACCAAGAUAUGACUCAAUUUAUGAAUUUUUUAUUCGUUCAAUUUCAAUUUUUUAGAGUUUAGAAGAUGAGUAUUUUGGUUAUAAUUUUUUUUCAAUCAAAAUUUCAAUCAAUCAUUCAUAGUUUGUUUAUCUUUUUGCAACAGUAAAUUGAUGCAAUCGGUUUCCCACUACACCCCAAAAAUCUUACUGAUAUUGCAAGAACCUUGAAUUCCGUUUGGUUCUUAUGUUCCACCACUCUUGCUACCUUAUUGCUGCUCUUUUCUGCCUCCUCCAUCACAAUGCCAAGCUUCACGAGAGCCUCUCGUUUUGCACACCUUGCAGCUUCUACUUCCGCCUCUACCUCAUUGUUAACUUUACUUUGGCUUUUGUUGAUUUCCAACCUGAGUGUUUCAUACUCUGCAGUUUUGUUUCCUUGUCCAUCAAAUGAGCCUUUAAAUCCGUAACAUGCCCUUUUACUUCUUUAAAUUCCUUUUCCAAUUCAUACUCUCUCUGGCAUGACAGGCUUUUUUCAAGCUUUGAAUUGAGCCCCUUGUUUAUUGAAAUUAGCUAGUGUCUUGGACGAAUGCGCCUCAUAAGCACAAGUUACUUAAACCAAAUUCAUUCAAUUUACAGAGGUGUAAAAUUAUCCCAAGAAUUUUUCACUCCGCCAGGGCGACUUUCUUCCACAGCAAUAACCGAAGGCAUUAACUUCCCAAAGAUAUUUGUUAGCAAAUGCAAAUUAAUGAGCGAUUUGGGGGAGGGAUUAGAGUAGUGGACACCCGAAAAUGUUGUACAAGCAUCAUGAAGCAUUUCUCGUGCAUCAGUGACCAGGAGAUACUGGGGCAGCUUCAAUGGGUGUAAAAAUAAAUCCACAUAUUGAAUUGGGUUUAUGGGGGUAUAUUAGGUAUUAAAUUUGGGUUUAAAGAGAUAUUAAUAGUUUAGUUAAAAAUUAAAUGGGUGGAAAUAGUAAGUUGGGUGUAAAAAGAGGUUGCAUGGGUUUAAAUAAAAUUUUCCUUUUUUGUUUCCUUUUUAGUCUAAUGCGGCCCUAACUCUCCAUUAUUUGUGUGGGCUGGGCUAAUAACAAAGAUAAAUUAACAUUUAACGAACGAGUGAAGCUUGAAUCAACUUGGAAUUGUUACGAGAUUUACUAACAAAUUUCAAACGUGUCUUGCAAAGAUGACCAUGAAUGCAGCAUCUGCAUAAUUAAAAUUUGAACUCUGAAAGGUAAUUGAGUGCUGGAAAGUAGCUGAAGUUUCAUAGACAUUAUCCCCCACCAGAGUUAACGUGUGCCCCAAGCAACCAUUACACACGGACUCAAAACUAACAAUUGACACAAAAGAAAGAGAACGUCUAGAUAAACACCUACAACCAGUGCCGGCCCUGAGUGGGUGCAAUAGGUGCCACCGCACAGGGCCCCUAAAUCAGAAGCGCCCCUGAUUUUUCAAAUUUGCAUGCAUUUACAUAAAAUAAAAAAAAAUAUAUAUAUAUAGUAGCAUGUGUAUAAUAUUACAAACUUGAGUCUUAGCACAAGUGGUAUUACCACUUCUUUACAGUGGCCUAGGAUAUGGGUUCAAAACUCGUCUCCAUCAUCUUUUUAUAAUAUUUAGUCUAAUUUACAUCAAGUAACUCAACUAAGAAUCUUUAUGGUAGCUAAGCGUCAAGAUAAUAAGCACGGUGAUUAAGAAUCCCAUAUUAAAAGGCAAUCGUAAGACAGGCAAAAUAAGAAAACUAGAUUAUCAUAUUAGGGUUUCAUCAUUGCCUAGCAAGGGUGUUUAGUUACACAUAGUCAAAUUAAUAACAAUAAGUCAUGAAAUAACAACGGUGAUGUGUUCCUAAGCACCCCUUUCUCUUUUGGGCAAAUUUGUGUGUAUGGUGACAUGUAGAGAGAUCAUAGGACAUAUAUUUAUACUAAAAAAACACUAAAAGGUCUGGUAAAAGCCCUCCUAGAAAAACAAAAUCCAAAACGAUAUUGGACACAAACUAAGAAAGAAUUCUUCUUGACUUGGAGAUCAUGUGAUCCAUCUUUCAUGCUAGAUUUGGGGUCGUUCCAGCUUCAUUUAUGUGGAAUUCUGAAAAAUAGGAAACUUAUAGUUCUAUGUCUAGGCAUAUAAGGCGCGACACUUGAAAAAAUUAGAAAAGCCUUCAAAUCUUCAUUCUCCCCUAGUUGCACAAUUUUACUGAGAAUGUAACUUUUACGGGAUUGAUUUGCAAAACUAGAAAGUUUGACUUCAUGAAAAAAAUGAGAAAGUUGAACACAACUAUCUUAAUCCUCUUAGCUUCCUUCCAAUUGACUAUAAAAAAUUCUCCGAUAAGUCUAUUUAUGAAGAAACAAAUAUCAUAAGUGCACAAAUUGACUAAAUUAAUAAAAAGAAUUUAAAAGACUCUAUAAAGACCAAUUCCUAACGAAUCCUUAAAAAAUAUGAAGGCAUUAUCGGGAGGACAUACUUCUCAUAAAAAAAUAAUCAACCAAAUUCCGACAACAUGAAUAUAUAUACCCUCGAAAAUAACCAUUCUAUUUCCAACGAUAAUAUCAUUUAUCGUUAAGACGAUCGGGGCCAAGCCUUCCUACCAAAUAAAGUACAAUUCAAGCGGCCAUUGGGACUAUUUUUUAAUGCAUUAUGUGUGUCGAAAAAACAAUUCAUUUCAUUUGACAUGUUUUUUUCUUGUAGUGUAAGGCAAUGUAAGUUUCAAGAACAAAGGGACAGAUGAAAUGUGUUUAACAACCUAACUUAAACUUUUGAUAACUAUAUUUUAUUGAUGUUGUUUGCAUGCGUCGUUUAUUUGGCCUAGGUUUGGAGUAACGACAGAAUAAAAUCUUGUAUGCACAGAGUCGUUUUGAAGGAAAAUAAGGUAAGAUACUCGUUCGGACAAUUCUUUUGGAACAAAGGAGUGAUAUAUGUACCAAACGAGCUUACGGACGAGGACCACCCCAUGCAGUAUAAGCCAAUAGACCUAGUGGAAUAUCUUCAAUAUUUCCAUGAAAAUAUGUCCACCGUGGGAUUUGAUUUUUCGGUCAAGGACUAUUGUGGGAAACAUGACGCCACAAGCAUGAGUUUGAAAGGUGGUGUUGGAAAAUAAUAACGGAAAGUUUCACGUACUUAGAUUCACCUGUUCUUGUGAGUUUAGCCUUUGCUUAUUCAAUAAGAUGUGUAUCUUGUUCUCUAUAAAUACUUCCAUACGAAGUUUAUCGGAGUUGAACCGAGGUUGUAUUCGUAUCAAACAAUUAUACUUUGGUAUGCAUGAUUCUUGCUAUGCUGUGCUGUGUUGUUUCCAAAUGGAAUCAAUCCAAAAGCCUGUUGUUUCAAAGGAUAUGGUGCUCACAUUCCUUAUGAAAUAGAAAACACUUUGAAACCAAAAAUCUACAUAGAUACUGCAUGAAAAUAAGGAAGAAGAAGAAAAAGCAGUAUCUCCAGCCUUGAAAAUGGAGGUGCUACUAGGAGGAGGAUCACCUGUGAGAAUGAACAGAAAACACGUAUACAAGGUUAAGGCAAUUUGCAAAAUAAGCUUCGUAGCCUCUUGGGGCAUUUGCUAAUUUUCUCACCCUAGGUCGUAGGCAUACCUUAUAGAAUAGAACGAUGUCCUCCUCCAAGACUUCAGCCAACCCAUCUAUGAAACAUGGGAACAAUACACCGCGGUCUUUGAAUUGGAAAAGAAUCUCAGCAAAAAAAGCGGGUAGAAACUAUUGGUGAAGAAUCACAAUCCACAGGCUCAAUCGACCAGCUUCCUGGAGCAAAGGCAAGUCACAGGCUCAUCCUGAAUCAGCUUUUCGGGACAAAUGCGGCUAGGGCAUUUGCAUAAGCAGGGGAGAGGUUACUCAAAAGGCCCUGCAUCUGUUGGCCAUAGAAUGAAAUCAGGUGAGAAAAAGCUCUUCCGAUUUGUGCUUUUACUUCAGGAGUUUCAACUGGUGAUGCCACAACUUGAGCAAAUACAUUAACCAAAUCUGGGACUAGCAAAAGGAUCUGCUUGGAAAAUAGAAUGAAUCGGUAAGAAAACUAUGGUCACCUCCAUAAAGAAAAUGGAUAAGAAAACAAGAAAAACAAAAAAGACCAAGUAAGUUCACCUUCUAGGAUUACCCGAUACACAGGGAGCUUCCAUAGAGGGAUCCCGCAUAGUUUGUAUGAUUCCGUACACAUAUAUUAUAAAUGUGUGUGUGUGUGUGUGUGUAAAGCAGUGUGAGCUUUGAAGAUGAAAUCAAAGUUCAUAUCUAUAAGCACAAGAACAUUCAAUCUUCCUAAAUAAUCUACAUGGCACAGAUUCAAUAUUUUGGUCCGGAUGUGGCAAUAAGUUGUUGGGAUCUAAUCCAUUGUCACUCGAACAUAAACCUGCAUGCUCAACCAUAUAUACCAAACACAUGCAGAUGAUGCCAUGAUGGUGAAGGCCUUGAAGUUCACGCCCUUUGAUCAACACCCGUAUCGUUAUCUGAUAACUGCAUGUUUAAGGGUCGGUGAGGAGGUUUUCAGAAUUGGAUGAAUUCUUGGAGAGAAAUGGAGAGGUGUUGUGUCGGUUGGGGGUGGGUGGGUGAGGCAGAUGGGAAAAAAUAUUUGUAAUCUUUAAAUAUCAUUUGAUCCUCGCCCGGUGUGCUGAACAAGAUUCGUUCUUCUCCUGCCAAAUAGAGUGGGUCUGAGAAUAUAGUGGUCUCCCUAUUAUAAAAACUACAGGGUUCAUAUAAAAAUUCAAAGCCCCCCAGAUUCCCAUAUAUUGGCUCCGCCACUCACGCCAUUUUGGACUCUAAAAGCAGUGUACGUAUAGUGCUGAAGAAAACAACACGCAGAUGACGGUGAUCGAUGAACCAACACCCUUACCGUUAUCUGAUAAUUAAUUGCAUGUUUUCACAGUGGCUACUAUUCAUCAUUUUUUUAUAGUAGGGUUGGUGGGGGUUUUUGAAUUGGAUGAAUUAUUGGAGAGAAAUAGAAGGGUUAUGUCAGUAGGCGUGCAACACAAGAGAAAAAAGAUUUACAUGUUUUACUCUACGUACAGAUAUAAUUUGGAUUGGUUGAGAGUAACAUACAGCUUGCCGUUCAAUAUAUAUAUAUAUAUAUAUAUCAUUAAGAGUAGAGCCUCAAAACCUAUCAGUUAGCUAGCUGGUGAGAAGAAAAAGAUGGCUUCCAGGACCCAAACAGCGACCAAAAUUCCAGUAGUAGAUUUCUCCCAAGAGGAUUGCUGGAAGUCAGGGACAAGUUCUUGGCUCUCAGUACGCAGAGACGUUUGUAAUGCUCUCGAAGAGUUUGCCUGUUUCCUGGCAGUCCUUCCCAACAAAGUUUCCCGGGAGCUUAAUGACACCAUGUUUGGGACAUUCAACGAGUUGUUUGAUUUCCCCGACGAAAUUAAAGCACAAUUUCCUCAGGAUAAACCUCUAGUUGAGGGUUACGUAAGGCUACCUACCCGUGAAUCCAUGUCAUUUCGUUCAAGCACUGAAAAAAUAAAGAACGUCACACGUCAACUUUGGCCGGAAGGAAAUGACCAGUUUCGGUAUAAAUUACUGCACAUUUCAAUAGUUUUAGCAGUUUUUUCUACAUCUUGAUACUUACUGCUAUGUGUUUUGUUAUCAACACUUUUGAUUUCUUUAUCAACAAGCUAAUGCGAAUCUGUCCUUAAACGGUUAUACUUGUUCUUCCUAAUAAUAAUAAUUUGUUCUUUAUAUCUUGGGCAGUGAGAGUGCUGAUCUGUAUUCAAAAGUGAUGACAGAAUUAAAUCAAGUUGUGACAAAAAUGGUAUUUGAAAACUACAACGUAGAGAAAUACCACGAUGAUCACAUCCAAUCGACCAUGCCCAUUACCCUACUUAUAAAAUAUGAUGAACCCAAGACAAAUGAAACUGAAACUGUUCUACACAAUCAUACAGACAAGUGUUUUACUACCAUACUCCAUCAAGAAUCGUAUGGUGUUGAGAUAAGCACAAAAGAUAACGAGUGGAUUGGUUAUGAUCCUCUGCCUUCAUCAUUAUUAUUCCUAGCAGGUGAUGGACUUCAGGUGCGUCAACACCCUUUCAUUAAUCUUGCUUUAGUUUCAUGGAUUUUAGCUCUCUCUUCAUGGAUAUGUCGUUCAGGCAUCCUUUUUGUAGGGCUCAGUUCUCAAUGUGUUUCAACAAUUUAACCAUCUAUCAUUAAGGUCUUCUCUCAAAUAUAUUCUUCUAAAAAAUUAUCCAAAUCCAAAAUCAUAUAAUCGUUGGAUUAAAUGAUAGUCAUUUUAGUUUUUCCUUUGAAGAACUAUAUUCGUCUUUUUCUUGACUACAAUUGGAUCUCUUAAUUGUUUUAGAUUUGCCUAGUUUUUUUUUACUUUUAUUGGAAAGGAUAAUCUAUGAAUAAUGAAUUAAAAUAUAAAUGAUUCGGAUUGUUAAAAGAAAGUUAUGAAAUGGUCAUCACAAGAUGUCAAUCAAAUAAGCUUUAUUUGAGGGAUAACAGAAGUUUAUAUAUAACCUAAGAACUAUUACAUGACGGAAGUUAGCAAAUGUAUGUGCCAAAUUAGCAAAACAAUAAGCGGUUAUGUGGCUUCUCUAAAAAUGUGAUUAAUCAUUGAUGUAUAUUCAAACUAACCUAAUAAUAGAUUAACUUAAACCAAUAUUAACUCGCAAGCACACGACUCAAUAGUGGUAUAGAUAUGCAAGUACGAGGUCAAUUUUGCAGGAAUUGCCUUAAAACCAUUUAAACCAAUAAUUACGCCAAACUUAAUUAUACAAACGAAUUGAAUUUAAGGAUUGAUUAAAACUAAAAUUAACAAGAUAAACUAAACCAAGACAAUGAUGAAUUUUGGAAAUUAAGAUACGAAAGCACUAGGACAUCAAAUCCACCACUAGUAAUCCAACCUAGCUUCUAUAUUACCUAUCCGUUGAUUAAUUCAAUUGAUGUUGUUGAAUAGUUUUCCUUACGCAUAAACUACCAAUAUGGUAUUUAGGCUCACCCGUAUAUCUCUACAUGCAACUUGUCUAUGGCAUUUAGUACAAUUAUGAACGUACAAAAACUCAUUACGUUUUGUGAAAAUCUUGAAAACCAUGCAAACACUAGGAAUACGGUGUUUACCCUAAAAGAAUUACAACCCUUAACCACAAGAAGCAAGCCUCAAAUUAGCUAUAGUAUUUAGUCUAAUUUACAUCAACUAACUCAAUUAAGAAUCUUGAUGGUAGCUAAGAGUCAAGAUAAUAAGCACGCUGAUUAAGAAUCCCAUAUUAAAGGGCAAUCGUAAGAUGGGCAAAAUAAGAAAACUAGAUCAUCUUAUUAGGGUUUCAUCAUUGCCUAGCAAGGGUGUUUAGUUACACAUGGUCAAAAUAAUAACAAUAAGUCAUGAAAAAGAACAAAUAGUACACGAAAAAACAACGGUGAUGUGCUCCUAAGCACUCCUUUCUCUUUUUGACAAAUUUGUGCGUAUGGUGACAUGUAGAGAGAUCAUAGGACAUAUAUUUAUACUAAAAAAACACUAAAAGGUCUGGUAAAAACUCUCCUAGAAAAACAAAAUCCAAAACGAUAUUGGACACAAACUAAGAAACAAUUCCAUCUUUCAUGUUAGAUUUCGGGUCAUUCCACCUUCAGUUAUGUAGAAUUCUGAAAAAUAGGAAACUUAUAGCUCUAUGUCUAGGCAUAUAAGGCAAAACACUUGAAAAAUUGGAAAAGCCUUCAAAUCUUCAUUCUCCCAUAGUUGCACAAUUUUAACGAGAAUGUAACUUUUACGGGAUUGAUUUGCAGAACUGGAAUGUUUGACUUCAUGAAAAAACGUGAAAGUUGAACACAACUAUCUUAAUCCUCUUAAGCUUCCUUCCAAUUGACUAUAAAAAAAUCUCCGAAAAGUCUAUUUAUGAAAAAAAAAAUAUCAUAAGUUCACAAAUUGACUAAAUUAAUAAAAAGAAUUAAAAAGACUAUAAAGGCCAAUUCCUAACGAAUCCUUAAAAAAUAUGAAGGCAUUAUCGGGAGGACAUACUUCUCAUAAAAAAAUAGUCAACCAAAUUCCAACAGCAUGAAUAUAUAUACCCUCGAAAAUAACCAUUCUAUUUCCAACGACAAUAUCGUUUAUUGUUAAGACGAUCAGGGCCAAGCCUUCCUACCAAAUAAAGUACAAUUCAAGCGGCCAUUGGGACUAUUUUUUAAUGCAUUAUGUGUGUCGAAAAAACAAUUCAUUUCAUUUGACAUGUUUUUUUCUUGUAGUGUAAGGCAAUGUAAGUUUCAAGAACAAAGGGACAGAUGAAAUGUGUUUAACAACCUAACUUAAACUUUUGAUAACUAUAUUUUAUUGAUGUUGUUUGCAUGCGUCGUUUAUUUGGCCUAGGUUUGGAGUAACGACAGAAUAAAAUCUUGUAUGCACAGAGUCGUUUUGAAGGAAAAUAAGGUAAGAUACUCGUUCGGACAAUUCUUUUGGAACAAAGGAGUGAUGUAUGUACCAAAUGAGCUUACGGACGAGGACCACCCCAUGCAGUAUAAGCCAAUAGACCUAGUGGAAUAUCUUCAAUAUUAUCAUGAAAAUAUGUCCACCGUGGGAUUUGAUUUUUCGGUCAAGGACUAUUGUGGGAAGCAUGACGCCACAAGCAUGAGUUUGAAAGGUGGUGUUGGAAAAUAAUAACGGAAAGUUUCAUUUCACGUACUUGGUUUCACUUGUUCUUGUGAGUUUAGCCUUUGCUUAUUCAAUAAGAUGUGUAUCUUGUUCUCCAUAAAUACAUCCAUACGAAGUUUAUCGGAGUUGAACCGAGGUUGUAUUCGUAUCAAAUAAUUAUACUUUGGUAUGCAUGAUAAUUGCUAUGCUGUGCUGUGUUGUUUCCAAAUGGAAUCAAUCCAAAAGCCUGUUGUUUCAAAGGAGAUGGUGCUCACAUUCCCUCUAUCUCAAACUGUCUACACAACAUAACAACGAUUUAGUAUGGAAAGUGAUUUUUGCACGCCAUUUUCAAUUCUCGCACAUCCUUUAUUUGUUUCUAACCAUUGGGUUGAACAAAUAGGAGAACCGGGAGCUAAAAUUUAGAGGGGCGUGCAAAAAUUACUCCCCUUUCGGAUUCUGUCAACAUGGCUUAGUUGUCGCUCCAAUCGACUCUAGUUACUAACCAUGGAAAAACAUAAAUUAACCAUACUCAAGUCCAAACUGAAAAUUAGUACAUAUCAAAACACAUUUCUUAAAUAACACAAAAGUAACCUUGUUACUAUGACUGCCGAAAAUCGAAAGCGCCAAUUUUACCGUUGGCAAUUUGAUUCUGCAAGCAAUAACUUAUAGACAACGCUGCGUUGAUAUACUAUGGGUAUGCAUCAUCUUCACUAAUUCUGUGAGGGGAAAGGCGAAAUUUUCAAACCUAUGGAAACCUGACAGCGGACAACCAUGAUACUCAAACAAAUAAUAAAAUCACGCACAUAAAAGUAUCAAAGAAUGCACACGAACGCUCAACGCAGACCGGAUAAUGGAAAGAAGAUUCGGGGGGAAAAAGAUACCACAGGAAAAUAAGGAAGAAGAAGAAAAAGCAGUAUCACCAGCCUUGAAAAAUGGAGAUGGUAAUAGGAGGAGGAUCACCUGUAAGAAUGAACAAAAACACGUAUAGAAGGUUAAUGCAAUUUGCAAAUUAGGCUUCAAAGCCUCAUAGGGCAUUUGCUACUUUUCUCACCCUAGGUCGCAGGCAUUACCUUAUAGAACGAUGUCCUCCUCCAAGAUUUCAGCCAACCCAUCUAUAAAACAUGGGAACAACACACCACGGUUGAAAAGAAUCUCAGCAAGAAAGGCGGGUAGAAACUAUUGGUGAGGAAUCACAAUCCACAGGCUCAAUCGAACAGCUUCCUGGAGCAAAUGCAACGAGAAGGCAAGUCACUGGCCCACCCCGAAUCAGCUUUUCGGGACAAAUGCGGCUAGGGCAUUUGCAUAAGCAGGGGAGAGGUUACUCAAAAGGGGCUGCAUUUGUUGGCCAUAGAGUGAAAUCAGGUGAGCAAAAGCUCUUCCGAUUUGUGCUUUUACUUCAGAAGUUUCAACUGGUGAUGCCACAACUUGAGCAAAUACAUUAACCAAAUCUGGGACUAGAAAAAGGAUCUGCUUGGAAAAUAGAAUGAGUGGGUAAGAAAACUUAUGGUCAACUCCGUAAAGAAAAAGGAUAAGAAAACAAGAAAAACAGAAAAGACCAAGUAAGUUCACCUUCUAGGAUUACCCGAUACACAGGGAGCUUCCAAAUAGGGAUCCCACAUAGUUUGUAUAAUAUACGUACACAUAUAUUAUAAAUGUGUGUGUGUGUGUGUAAAUGAUACAUAUCUUAUCAUUUUAAUCUACACAAGUUUCAGACUGAAAUCAUGGAGCUGUGAACUAACCUGGGCAUUAGAUGAUAAAACAAGAGUAGAGACGCAACUAUACACCGUCAUGGACUCUUCACGAUCUUCUUUUAGUGGAAGAACCUUCAAGAAAACAGGAAGUACCUGCAAAUUUAACAAGGAGAUAUAUACUUAAGCUCACCAAAAUGAAACCAAAAUGAUGGAAAAAUGAUAAUACUAAGCCAGAAAAUGUCAUCAGGACACUUACCUGAUUCAAUGGGAUAGAUUCAGGGUGCACCAUUAUCAUUCUUGCCACUGCUCCAGCUGCGUUAUCCCUGACAGCAUCAUCUGGCUCAGAUUCCCCAAAUAGUGGGUAAAGUCCACGCAAUAUGUCACCAUAGUAUCUGGGAAUUGAUUAAAGAACACGCUAGUGGAAGGCACAUUCUAGGUUUCAAUGCCAAACUAACUUCUACAAACAACAUAAUUAUAAAGAUGAUUCAUCACAAAUCCUGUAAUACCUGAACUCAGAACACGAAUGAGAGGAUCAUGAAAAUUCCGAAGAAAAUAAUCAGGAACAAGGAAAAGACACUAAAAAUCAUAACAUAAAAAAAGGAUAUUCAAAGAUUGUUAUUGUUUUUCAGUAUGCAGUGUCACUACAGAUGGAACUAUUGAGCGGGAAGGCCCUUUUGGUUUCAUUAGAACAUGUCUUUUCAACAUGUUGGAGGCUCGUGAGAAGAAAUUAUUUUUUAUCUAUCACCAAAGACUCAAGGGAUCAAAUUUUGGCAGAUUUGUAGUUGAAAACAUUCCGUAAGUUCAUAUAUGGCUUUAUUUAAUUUAUACAUAGAAAAGGCGGUUUAUUUAUUUAUGUAUUUAUCUCGUUGAACUUUUAUGUGGUUUUAGGAUUGGGUAUGAAAAGGUGGAGCAAAACGGACAUCGUGUGGCUUUUUUGCAAGGAAACUUUUGUCUGCAUCACUUGACCUUGAAGGAAGCAGAAGAUGUUGAUACACUUUUUGACUCUGCUAAUUUAGUUACUGAAUGUCCAGACUUUAGUACUGACGCGUUUCUUUUGAAAAGUUUUACACUUAAUAUGACAAAGUUGAAGAGUAACAAAAGAAAGAGAAGGGGGAAUUUUGUGGGAUUUGAGUCAGCCAAGUUCUCAUACUACGAAGUCGCAAUGUUCGAAGACUACGAAGUGAUUUAUAUAGGAAGGCCCACGGAAGACUUUUUGAAAUCUUUGAAACAAACUAUCAUAGAAAACAUCCACCAGUACAAGCAAAGCAAAUUAUUUUACCGUUAAACUUGAUUAUCAUGAGGAUUCUCCCCUUUAAAAAGUGUGAUCGUUUCUUUCAAAGAUUUCAAAAAGUCUUCCGUGGGCCUUCCUAUAUAAAUCAAUUCGUAGUCUUCGAACGUUGCGACUUCGUAGUAUGAGAACUUGGCUGACUCAAAUCCCACUAAAUUCCCCUUUCUCUUUCUCUUGUUUCUCUUCAACUUUGUCAUAUUAAGUGUAAAACUUUUCAAAUAAACUCGUCAGUACUAAAGUCUGGACGUUCAGUAACUAAAUUAAUAGAGUCAAAAAAUGUAUCAACAUCUUCUGCUUCCUUCAAGGUCAAGUGAUGCAGACAAAAGUUUCCUUGCAACAAAGCCACACGAUGUCCGUUUUGCUCCACUUUUCAUACCCAAUCCUAAAACCACAUAAAAGUUCAACGAGAUAAAUACAUAAAUAAAUAAAACGUUUUUUCUAUGUAUAAAUUAAAUAAAGCCAUAUAUGAACUUACGGAAUGUUUUCAACUACAAAUCUGCCAAAAUUUGAUCCCUCGAGUCUUUGGUGAUAGAUAAAAAAUAAUGUCUUCUCACAAGCCUCCAACAUGUUGAAAAAGUCGAGACAUGUUCUAAUGAAACCAAAAGGGCCUUCCCACUCAAUAGUUCCAUCUGUAGUGACACUGCAUAAUGAAACCAAAAGGGCCUCCCCACACAUUGCAACAAUUCCAACAAAUUCAGUAGCUCUUGCUCGUGAACGAAGAUCCUCAUCAUUACUAAGCACCAAGAAACUUUUCAUCAACUCCAAAACCCUUUCAGCAUACGGAACGAAUGCCUGCUCUGCCGCAGAUGCCACCGAACCAAUCGCAGACUGCAAAAUGAUGCAAAUCAAUAAAUUUAAAACCAAACCAUUCACUGAAUAUAUAUAUAUAUACACACACACACAUAUAUAAAAUUAAUUUACUUUAAAUCUUUAGGUCAAAGAAGACCACCAUACCAUGCAUGUCUCCUGUAAAUUACGAGGGCUAUUAUGGAGGGCCCCCAGUAGUUUUCCCAUCAACGGAUCAAGGAAUGGAAGAAUUUCCUCACCCAUGUUGUCACAAAAUGCUGCCAAAGCAUAAUACGACUUCUCCUGCACAUAAAGAUUGUUUUAGUCAUUAUCAAAUACAUAUGAAUAAACUAUACCAAUCUUCUAAUUUCCUUCUACCAAACAUACCUUCACUUCGUCAGAUGCAUCCUCAAGGGCAUUCAAAAUGCAAGGAAGUACACUUUGAUAGUGGGAAACAAUUUCCGGCUGCAAAUGCUCUGCAAACUGACCCAAUGCAAAUGAUGCAGCCCCCCUAACCAUUUCCUCAGGAUCUCUCAGAGCGCCUAAGACAAUAUGAAGAACUGGAUCCAACUUAUCUUUUAUCAUCUCCAAACAACCCUCUGAAUUACACCUAAAGCGGUAACAGAUGCUUCCUGAUAUUUUGGAUUUGCAUUUUUACUGCUUAAAGAAGAAAAUUCAAAGAUAGGGUGGAAAACAUGCUUUGGUAUGUUCAAAGCCAUAGUAUCAAUAACUUCUGCAGCAGCUCGAUCUGGAGCAAGAUCAUCAUCCUUAUCUUCAUCAUUUGAUUCUGCAAGCAAUGGGCACAUAACUUGCAGAAUAGGGAUGACCAGCUUAUGCUUUUUGAGGGAAUUGGAUUUAUACUUUGCUAGCCAUGAAACUAUCUGAAUUGCCUGAAAAGCAACAAGAAGAACAAAUAUGAGGAGUAUUCACAAACAGAGAGCCUUUGUUUAUUACAAAGCAGAUAAGUUAACUUACAGGCAAGCUUAUUGGGACCCAACAGUUUACCGAUGGACCCAACUUUGUUUUUCAUUUUUUUCUUUUUUGCCACUUCACCUUUCCAUUUUUCACUCGUUUAAAAUUUAAAAAAGAAAAACUGAGAAGCACAAAAGCCACAGCAGCUCCACCUUCCGUCAGUGUCUGUAACAGCUGUGCUGCCGGAAAAUUGCCCCCUCCUCUCUCUCUCUCUCUCUUCAUUUCCCUCUUCUCUCCUACCCUCUCUGUAUGCAACUAUCAAAUCCGACCAGCCCGGCCCCCAGAUCGCGGGUCAAAACCCUAGGCUGCAACAACCCAAAAUCACAAUACAAUGCUACAGAUCCCCACAUACAACUGAUAGAGCUGACAGGAAUAAGCACCCCAAGCAACAGAGAGAGCACAAAAUCCAGUAAACUGGAUCUGCAAGAGCUGGUUAGCAUCAUAUGUGAGGGGCAGAGUUGCGCGGUUUGCAGAGAGAGGGGAAAGAGAGAGAAAGAGAAAUAGUAAGCGGGUGGGAGCUACUAUGGUUUUCAGUUGUCUCAGUAUUUCUUUUUUGUAUCUUGAAGGCCAAAAUAUAAAAAGGUCGUACCCAGUGCACAAGGCUCCCGCUUUACGCAGGGUCUGGGAGAGGUGAAGUGGCAAAAAAAUUGAGUCUCAAACAAGAACUGUUAGGUCCAGUCCCAAACUUAUCAGCCCAACCAAAGACUAGGAGCUCAUAGAGAAAAGGCGAGGAAACUUUUGACCGUAUAUACUAACCUGAUGACGUGUAUUAGAUUCUAAACUUUGAGUUGAAAAAACUUCAAAGAGAGAAUUGCACAAUGGAUUUAACAGAUUCACCAAGAAGAGGUGCUGGAGAUUCAAUCAACUCAUCAAAAAUUUCAAAAGCAAUAAUAGCAACAUCCUCCUCGCCAGCUGCAAGGCAUUGUCUUGAUACAUUUAAGAUGCUAGGUAUGAAUUCCCGAAAUUUCACCUAGAUUGGUAUGAAUAAGAUAAAUGCCAACAAAAAUAAACUAAUUAGUUACAACGUAAGAAAUUUGGGAGAAAUGUAAAAUAACACUAAAAACGAAAUGCCUGUUUGGCAUGCUUGACAUCAGAUUACUUGGAAUACAAUGCCAAAGUAAUAAGAUUGUCAUAUUCGGUCAAUUAGACUUGGGCUCUUAUGUUGGUAUAUUUCAGAACUUUGAUUAGCGUGGUCACUGCUUGGUGUUCAAAUUAAUCCAAUUUACAAUUGACUAUCACCUGUGGUUUUGAUGAGAGAGUAAUUUUCUCUUGUGAAAAUUUUAUUCUGAAAUGCUAUUUUUCAUCAACCAUAGAGCACAUAGCAAGCCAUGAUCAGAUCCCAUGAAAUUGAAGCAUUAGGUAUGUUUAAAGAUGUAACAGCCAAUGAAUAUAUAUGAUCAUAUGCACUAGAAAAAAAAAUACAUCAAAGGAAAAAUAACCAUAGGUCUGAUGUGUCUGUCAAAUACAUAACAGUUGAGUGUAAUGUAAGAGAAAUGAAUAUAUGCGCUAAACCAAAUUUUUUCUCACCACAACCAAUCAAGAGCAUGUUCCAUCAUACCAAGAGAAGACUGAAUUUAUUUGUUCAUUUUUCUCAACCAAGAAAUAGAAACUCUUGUUGUUACGGUGAUGGAACCUUAUAAAUAAUACAAUAGUUGCUUUACUUUAUAUUUCAAAAGGCUCAUCUGUUGAGUGGUCUUUGUGCUUGAAUUUCCUUUUCUUUCAUUCUUUAAAUAGAAUGCAUUGUGCUAUCAUUCUGAAUAGUAAACACAUAGUAAUUUAUGGGAAAUUUACAUCUUCAACAUCAUUUUAGGUUAUCCAACUUACCCAAGUAUUAAGGAUAAAACAGAAUACUGAAGAACAUAUUGCUAAUAAAAGAAUUUAUUAAUGAUAAUUUAGUUUCAUUUUUGAUAUCAUUUUUUAUAUAAAUACAAACUCACCACUUCAACCCCAUCAUGAGUGAAUUCCAGAAAAGACCCUACGGCCCUGGCACAAUAAUUAAAAGAUUCAAUUAAGAAAAUACAAGCUAAUCACUUGUUAGCAAAAGAAGCAUAAAAUAUCAAAACUAUGAAUGGAUAAAUACUAAGCAUUACUUGAGCGCAGCAACUCUGACACAGUUGCUUGUCUCAUCCUGCAGGCAUUGAGCUUGCAAAUCUGCGAAAUGUGGCCAAAACGUAUUCCCUAUUGUUUCAGUCAAAGAGCUGAACAGGAUCAAUGCCACCUUAUUCCAACAAAGCAAAACCAACCAUAUAAAUCAGUAUAUUGAAUAUGAACUACAUAACAGCAUGAACAAGAGUGUGCAUUAACUAUUGAAUGAUGUGGAAUGCCCAAUUCCAAAAACAAAUUUUGUCUCCGGUAAACAAUAUUUUGUAGAAUACAGUCUCGCCAACAAAAGAGUUUGGUUGAACAUGCUUCAAGAAUUUUCCUAGAAAAUCCUUUUGCCACUUUUUAUUUUUUUACUUUUGAGAAAGAAAUGAAAUUUCAUUGCAAAUGAUGAUGAAAUUACAAAAGUGAACAAGAUGUUCACAAAGUAAAAACAAAGCCAAAAAAAGAACAAUCAGUGAAACAACAGAAGAAAUCCCCCUAAAAAGCAGCUACGAAAACUCCAUAAAGCUUUAUCCCACUAAGUGGGGUUAGUUGUAUAAAUCCUAGAACACCACUGCGGUCGAUUUUCGCCAAGUCUUCCGUUAACUCCAAGUACUCCAUAUCUUUUCUUAGAGUCUCUUUCUAAGUCUUCCUAGGUCUUCCUCUACCCUUUUUGCCCUCAGCAGCUAAACCUCUGUCUCAUAAUCACAACUUCUAACCGGAGCAUUUAUAGGUCUUCGAUUCACAUGUCCAAAUCACCUUAACCGAUUUUCUCUCAUCUCAUCUUCUAUUAUAUCAAGUCCUACUUUACCUCGGAUAUCCUCGUUCUUAAUCUUGUCCUUUACCGUGUGUCCACACAUCCACCGAAACAUUCUCAUCUUUGUUACACUCAUUUUUUGCCCGUGUUGAUGCUUGACCACCCAAUAUUCCGUGCCAUAAAUUGGAAAGAAAAAAAAAACAGCUUUAAAAUCCCGAAGACAAUAAACAAAUUUUCUCCCAUAACUCCUCUCUGCUACUUCUUUCCGCCCAUAUUACCCAUAAAACAGCCAAAAAAACCCAACCCCCUAAAGUCACAAUUAUUCAAUUUUGCAAAUAAUGCACCAAAGGUUUUGGCUUAACAAACAUUACACCUCCUCUUGUGAGUAAUGUCAUAAGUAUUCACGAACUUUCAGGAUUAAAUAUGGAGGGCAAUGCAGCUAACAUGGGGAACGAUAUAGCGAGCGCAACAAGGAAAAAUAAACGGGCUUCCUUCAGAACACAACGGAAAUUACCUCUCUAUGUUCUUCCUGUGCACUCUGACUACAUUGAAACAGAAAGGGCAACAAAUCCGGCCAUUCUCCAGCCGGGACUGCAUAUUUUGCGACGACACUAACCACAUUGGCACUGGCUCGCCUCACCGGCGGACUGCAUAAACACCACGAAAUCAAUAAGCAAACCAAUUCAAAUACAAAGAAAAUAAAUCACACAGGAGCUCAAGCAAUUAAGCAUCACCCCAAAUAAAAAACAAUCCAAUCGAGAUAAAUUCAGACCUGUGCUCCAUUGUGAUGCUCUCAAUGAGGGACUGCUUAACGAGGUGUUUAAUCUGGGGUGAGAGCUUGGCCCAGUGUCCAGUGAUCUUCUUCCUCAGAAGCACUGCUGCCAAUUGCCUCACGUUCGGCGUCUUGGCGGUGCGGAGGUGCUAUACGAGCGCGGGAACCACCUGAGGGUCCUUGGCCAACCGCUUUAUCUGGUCCUCCGCCUGCCGCCGGGCGUCGUUGUCCGGCAUCAGGAAUUGUAUCAGCAAGAGCUCUAGUGACUGCGACAUGUCGUCUGCUCUAGUCUCUCUCUCGCUCUGUCUGUAUAUCUAGGGUUUCUGGUAUCGUUCGUGCGACGCCGUUUCGGGUGGGGCAAGUUUCCAGCGAAAGGGAAAUGGAGGCGUUGCCUUUUGUUGUAGUGCGAGGGUUUUUUAUUAAGGUUUUGUGGGGAGGGACUCUCUGCUGCUCCCGCCGCCGCUUUGCUUUGGAGUGAAGGCUUUUUAUACGCUGUGGGGACACGCUGGACAGACAAGUAGGUUGUCCCAGGACACUCCCAAUUAAGAGCGGCCUUCUAAUUUUGGUUUGGUAUGCCUUCUUUUUCUCUCACUAACUAUUUGAUGUAAUGUCUGUUGUUCUUGCUCGUUCAGCAAGUUAUAUUGAGAACAUUCGACAGACUCUCAAUAAUACUUAUUAGAUUAUUUCAGCAUAUGUUGAUAUAUAUUGACAUAUAUUGACAUAUAUGUAACAUGGUUUGGUUGACGACAACAAACACAUCAAGUAUUCAAUGAAAUGCCUCAAGAAAGAAAUUGAAAUUGUUUUGCACACUUCAUGCUCUAUUUCUUUGAAAAAAAUAGACAAUUAACAUUGAGACCCGUUAAAUUCAAAACCUGAAUUCGCCACUACUAAAAUCUAUUGUUGCUUAGAUGUGUGCCUAAUAAGUACAAUUUGACACAAAAAUUAAUAAUAGUCAGUGUUUCGAAUUCAAAAAAUUCUCAAAAUAAGAAAAUUAAGAAUCUAAGAAUUUUUCUUUGGACAUGUGGCACAAAAACAAUAGUAAAAUGAGAUUGCAAAAUAUAAAGUAUGACUUGUUACCCCAGGUACUUCACAAAAACAAAGUUAUAUUUAUGCUACGUAAUCAGUUUUAAUAGAUUUUUAAACCAACUUGAUGGUAAUUUUGCCUCAAAAUUUUUUAUCGAUUCACAAAAUUUUGUAAUUACGAUCAGAAGCAUGGAUGAUGUAAAUCAAUAUGUAGCUCUGGUGGAUCGUUUGAAAUUGAUUUUUUUCAUUUGUGGGCUCUCCUGGAGGACCCUGUGCAUUUGGACCAGUCCCUUAUAGUGGUCUUGUGCGAGAUAUGCCGUCCCUUAAUACGUAAUUACUUGGGAAACAAGAUUCCCGAGUGCUUGAGCCUUCACAGAUACCAUUGAUGUCCGAUUAAUUCGUUGGCUGAGUUAUGCAGCAGCAAUACACUGUGUAUAAAUAUAUCUGUUGCAGGAAAAACCUAACGCAAACACUUCUGGUGUCGAGCGGAAAACCCCAUCGACAGUGGGUGCUGGUGAGCUGCCUACAUUUGGGUUGAAAACGAACCCAGAGAGGAAUGUAGUUGCACCCUGCGCCAGCUUAGUGAAACAACUGAGAAAAGCUUAGGUCAACACAUAAACAGUGAGAAGCGCAUGGCCAAGGAAGCAAGACUAAGAGCUCAGCAACUCGACAAGAUCCCUCCGGCAAUGUACUAUCGUCACAAUUUUCUAAGCAUAAAGAGACCGACGGUAUCACAAACACCGUUUUUUGUUGAUGAUUAGUUUUAUUCAGAAUCACGUGUAACAAUUAUCAAUUAAUAACACCACCAACACAUAUGCAAAUCAAAGCAAAAGGGUCGACCCAAAUUAAUAGGCACUGCAUAAAAUAAUAUCCCAAAAGCAGGAGUACAAGUAAAGCAAAUCCAUAUUAAACACAGAAAACUCUACCAUGUAUAUCUGCCAGCCACGAAUGGCAACGAUUGAGCUAUCUAGCUUAAGUAUUCCAAGUCAGACAUAAAUCCAUAAGAACAUGUAAUAUAGCGCGCUGAAACGAAUGAUAAAUCAGAAGGAUGAUAUAUCAUUGCUCAAAAGGGUAGGACUGGGAGGACCCUAAUUGUCCUUAUCUUCAGGGAAGAAGAACUCUUCCCAUAAUCUAGUUUUUUCGAUCUUUUUGUUCGGCUCCGGGCAUUCUGAAGUCCUGUGACCAAUCUCAUCACAAAAGGAACACCAAAGGAUAUUAACACGCCGCCCGUAUAUUUCAUAGCCCUUGCCAACUUGAGUUACGCCGAAGGGGAGACGUCUCCUCCAUGGACAGUGUUCAGGAGCGUGGCCCAACUUAGUGCAUAUUGGACAACUAGAUGGCAAUUCGGAAACUAUGCGUGGCUCGACUAUGCAUUUGGGAAUUUUGUCCUCCUUGAACAAAGCUGGGCUAGUACUCUUCUCCUCUAGUUGGAUUUGAGCCAGUAAGUCUGCAGCAGCCUUUACAUUCUUGAGGUGAAUCGUCGGAGAGUCUUUAACAACCGCCUUUUUUUCUUUCUUCUUCUCUGCGUAUUUGGGAAAAUGUACAGAUAUUACUAACAUUGAUAAGCUAAGUAGGCCAUCCGGAUCCAGGUCCUUAAUUCCGUUAUAUUCUCGAUCUCAAUCAAUCAUUAUAAAUACUUACUACUACGGCUUCACUCUCAAUUACGUGCUACUACUCUGGGUUAAUUUGUUAGGACAACAAAGUUAAACAUGUAUAAAAUAAAUAGCUAUUGGAAAUUAACACUCCCCUACGACUACGAAGUUUUGUUGAAAAUUCUUUCGACAUAAGUAACCGGCCUGGCCAAAUCAAACUGAAUUGCGAUAAUUGAUUGAUUGUGAAUAGAAUAUCAUCUAGCUGGCUACGAAAUUUGGUUGAAAAUUAUCCUCAGUAACCGGGCAGAUCAAUCAUCUUAAUUGACUGUGGAAAUAAUAUCUAGCUAUUAAUAAUUAAACGAAUUAAUUUAUAAAAUAUAGAAAAUAAAAUAAAAUUCUUGGUGCCUUUUAGGGCCUCCAAUUCACUUUCGCAUAGGGCCCUAAAAUCUCAGGGCCGGCCCUGCCUACAACCAUCACUUAACCGAAAAUCCACAAAACUUGAAAGAUCAACGAGGACUCGAAAAUGAAGAAGCUUGCCUUCUUGAGGGCAAGGUGUAUGUACAAUUGUUGAUUAAAAAUACACGCACACCCCCAAAGAAAACACCACCAGUGCACGCAAAUCAAACCAAAGCAAAGCGUCGAUCCAAAUUAAUAGGCAAUGCACAGACAUGAUAGUCCAAUACAUGUGCGAGCAAAGGAAGCCAAAUUAAAUACAGAAAACACCCAACAACAAGGGGUGUAUACAGUGAGUGAAGAGACUAGAAGAACUCUAAGUUCAUUGCAGCAACGACGUCCUCAUAUUAGUGGUUAAUUUGGUAUUGUGAAUUACAUGUUUAUGCAUUCAAUUACGUGCUACUACUCUGGAUUAAUUUGUUAGGACAACAAAGUUAAAUAUGUAUAAAAUAAAUAGCUACUGGAAAUUAAAACUCCCCUACGACUACGAAGUUUUGUUGAAAAUUCUUUCGACACAAGUAACCGGCCUGGCCAAAUCAAACUAAAUUGCGAUAAUUGAUUGAUUGUGAAUAGAAUAUCAUCUAGCUAGCUACGAAAUUCGGUUGAAAAUUAUCCUCAGUAACCAGGCAGAUCAAUCAAGUAUCUUAAUUGACUGUGGAAAGAAUAUCUAGCUAUUAAUAAUUAAACGAAUUAAUUUAUAAAAUAUAUAAAAUAAAAUAAAACACAUAUUUUCAACAUAAGAAGGGAUUUUGAAUUUUUAUGAACAAGGCAUCAAGAACCCUAAUUAAGUUCAAGCUCUGUAACCCUUAAAAUAAUAAAAUAUAUGCAGAUUGCAAUGAGCAUAUGUAGGCCAGUUAUGCUUUUGUAAAUUGGAAAUUACAGAUAAUCUUCCUCGUCACAAACCCUAAAAACGAAAAUUGAAAAGCAAACCAAAAGGACUCCGAAUCUCACCUCGGAGCUUCGUCGAUUGGGUUGGAAUUGGGUUCUUCCCCUUCCCGAAUCCUUGUCCGGCGAGUGACUUGGACUUAUCCUUCGCCUUCGAUGUGCCUUUGGUUCGGCGGUACAUGGUUUUUGUCAUAGAGAGAUUGCGGUUGCAUGAGUUCUUUUUUAUUUUGUUUUGUUUUAGUUGGAUUAUAUGGUAUGCUAAACCUUACUUAAAUACUAAACCUUCAAACUAAAAUUUGACUAUAAUACCCUUCAUAUUUAAUUUGAUUAUCUCCGGUUUUUUGUUUCCUUUUUAGUCUAAUUUGAUCCCAACAUAUGUCGAGAAUCAACACGUGACAAGGAAAAUAACGUCCAUUGAAUACGAUAUAAGUUAUGGAAUAAAAAUAUUUUAACUGAUAAACCAAAAUAAUAUGAAGGUGGCUAAGUUUUCCGCAAAAUAUUUACAAAUAUGAACAACCCAAAAAGAAGCAUAAUCUUUACUUUACUAAGAACCAGAUUGAGGUGCUCAAAAGAAAGUCCCAAAAAAUAAAGUACAAGAUAGGAUAUAGGGGUAACCUAGCACUCCAAAUCUCUGAUAAUUGUACCACUACCCCACCUACGAACCUCUCGAAGCUACUCAUACUUGUUACCUGUAAGAUCAGUGCCUACACCAUCGAAAUAGUACACCGGGCAAACAACAACCCAGAUAAGUUACGAAGCUUGUGUGAGCGAUAAAUAAUACAAGUAUACGAUACUAAUAAUAAAACUAACCACCAUUCACAAUUAUAAACCUUGAAUAUAAAUCAUUUAUAAGAAAUCGCUACCAAACCUUGCAACCUCCGAAGGGGUCACACAUACAUCCAACGAGUUUUCUAAAUCAAAACUCAAAGUUCUCAAAGCCACAUUCACAUAUAUAUUCAAAACUAGAUUUAGAGAGACGUCGUUUGGCCGAAGCCUACGCAAAUAACCAAUUAGGAAGUGGCCCCCCAAAACGGCUCAACCAAGCAAAGCCACCCCUAAGAAAGUAACCAAGAAGGUAGUGACCCCCAUUGCGGAUUACCAAGCAGAGUCACCCCUAAGAAAAUAACCAAAUAGGUAGUGACCCCCCAAUGCGGAUUAACCAAGCAGAGUCACUCCUAUAACUAUUGGAAGGUGAUCACCCGAUGCGAAUUAACCAAGCAUGAUCACCUUUAAAUGUGUAUGGCCAUACCUAGGCUAUAAGGAUCGCCCAACGCGGAUUAACCAAGCGCGAUCCACAAAUAGUAUGGUCCCCUAACGCGGAUAAACCAAGUAGGACCAUCCAGGACCAUUGCUAUGUGGUGCAGACUUAGUGUCACCUAACCCCAUGACACUAGGGUAAUGGUCCUUCACAAUCCAUCAUUUUUAUCAUCCAUCACAUAUAUAUCCCAAAACGCAAUCCAUCAUUUUUAUCAACCAUCACAUAUAUAUACCAAAACACAAUCCAUCACAGUUCAAAUAUCCAAGUCACUUAAUGUUUCAUAAGUAUAUCGACGUUACUAGCAACAAUUAUUUAGCAUCAGAACUAUUUUGAGAAUCCAUAGUAUAACCACAAAGUUUAUUAGCACAGAGGAUUUCAAAGCAAUAACCAUAAUACAUAGAUUAGAACCACUCACCUGAGAUCCACACUAACGCACUCAAACACGAGAGUCAAGGCAUCACGUUCUAUCACCGCCUAACAAGGUACAAACCACAUUUAGAUUUCCUUCGAUAAUUCACAUACUUAAAACUCUUAUAUAUUUCCCACAACAACAUUUAAUAAGGAAUCGAACUGUCAUUUUAAGGUAGGGUCCUUGAUCUUACUGUCACUUAUUCCAUAAUAUCCAAUCACUAGAUUUUCACUUGUAAGUCCCUAAGGUCCAUAAACAUUAUCUACCAUAGCAUACUAAAAGUGGUGUCAAUUCAAUGAUAAGAUCAUCAAUCGCUAGAAUAAUCAAGUGGCGGAGCUUAUCGAUAAAAUACUCAACCAACAACAUUUUUAUAAAUCGAAUGUCACACACCAGAAAAUUUGACUUUCUCAAAAAAUUCUCAAAUUUUACAGGAAUAAAGAUUUCAACAAGUAGAGUAAAUUUUAUACCUGUGGUCGAGUCCAAUUUGGCCAGGAAAGCCCUCAAAUUGGCUCGCACCCAACGAAACCCUAAGGUGGGUGUCCUUAAAUUCGGCUUCCUUGGUGUUCCAACGCUCCAACCACCAGUUGGGUCUUGUUCUUGGGUCCAAGGGAAGUUGAUUAAGGGUGAUGGUGAAUGGUGAUACUCUCCGGAAUGACAAUUUAUCAUCGAGAACCUCCGGGUUCUCCUAUGGAGUUCUACAUGAAAUAAACCUUAAAAACCCCUGAUUUUUGGUAGAAAGGGAAGGAGGAAGGUAGUUGAGCAAGUUGCAGGUGAAGGAGGUAGGAAAAUCAACUGGGAAAUGGAAGAAAUAGCCUGAAAUUGGCCAGUUUGAAAUUUGGCUGUGGACCUCACGUUUUCACGAAUUAGAGGGAAAGAAAGUGCCGUGCCUUUCUUUCCAAAUGGGUCUUUAAUACCCCUUUUUCAAAAAUGAAAACUAAUGAAAAAUGCUUGAAAACUUUGAGUUUUAAUGAUAAGGACAAUAUAAAGGGUAAAGUGAAUAGUACCAGGAUUGACUUUUUAGUGUAAAAAUGUGAUUUUUCGUUAAAGUGAACAGUACCAGGUGCUUUUCGUUAAAGUUCCCUUUUUAAAAAUCUAACAGGUUCCUCGUUUUUUUUUCUCUACUAACUUAACUUAACCUUUAAUCCAUGCUUCUCACAAUCUAUAGUUCACAACUUCAAACAUCCGUAACUAUACCCUUAUAAUUCGGACUUGCAAACAGCUUUCACCUAUGCGUUCGUGGGUUCGAGGCUAUUUAAAAACAGUAGUUGUAACCUCGAAAUAUCGACAAAAGAUAAAGAUUGAUUAUGAACUUUCCAACUCGAUAACUAAUCAAUUACUAAACUUAAAAUUAAUGGAAUUAAAAUUAACUAAUAAAGUUAACAUAAGCGCGAGAUACGAGUUUUAAAAUACAAGAUAUGUAAUAAUUGGUGAAAUUCCGGGGAUGGAAUUUCACACUAUCUCUCCAUUAUUUGUGUGGGCUGGGCUAAUAACAAAGAUAAAUUAACAUUUAACGAACGAAUGAAGCUUGAAUCAAACUUGGAAUUGUUAAGAGAUUUACUAUCAAAUUUCAAACGUGUCUUGCGAAGAUGACCAUGAAUGCAGCAUCUGCAUAAUUGAAAUUUGAACUCUGAAAGGUAAUUGAGUGUUGGAAAGUAGCUGAAGUUUCAUAGACAUUAUCCCCCACCAAAGUUAACGUGUGCCCCAAGCAACCAUUACACACGGACUCAAAACUAAACGGACUCAAAACUAACAAUCGACACAAAAGAAAGAGAAUGUCCAGAUUAACACCUACAACCAGUGCCGGCCCUGAGGGGGUGCAAUAGGUGCCACCGCACAGGCCCCUGAUUUUUCAAAUUUGCAUGCAUUUACACACACACACACACACACACACACACACACACACACACACACACACACACAUAUAUAUAUAUAUAUAGUAGCAUGUGUAGAAUAUUACAAACUUGAGUCUUAGCGCAAGUGGUAUUACUGCUUCUUUACAGCGGCCUAGGAUUUGGGUUCAAAACUCGUCUCCAUCAUCUUUUUAGUUUAUUUUUAUUAAAUACAUAAGCUUCCACAAAAUAAUAUAAAAAUUCCACACAAUAACAUGAAAAUUCAAACCAUGACCCUCUAAAAAGUUAAGGAAAAACUUGUCUAUGGCAUUUAGUACAAUUAUGAACUUUCAAAAACUCAUUAUGUUUAGUGAAAACCUUGAAAACCAUGCAAAACCUUGAAAUUCAUGCAAACCCUAGGAAUAUGGUGUUUACCCUAAAAGAAUUACAACCCUUAACCACAAGAAGCAAGCCUCAAAUUAGCUAUAAUAUUUAGUCUAAUUUACAUCAAGUAACUCAAUUAAUAAUUUUGAUGGUAGCUAAGCGUCAAGAUAAUAAGCACGGUGAUUAAGAAUCCCAUAUUAAAAGGCAAUCGUAAGACAGGCAAAAUGAGAAAACUAGAUUAUCAUAUUAGGGUUUCAUCAUUGCCUAGCAAGGGUGUUUAGUUACACAUAGUCAAAUUAAUAACAAUAAGUCAUGAAAAAGAACAAAUAGUACUCGAAAUAACAACGGUGAUGUGCUCCUAAGCACCCCUUUCUCUUUUGGACAAAUUUGUGUGUAUGGUGACAUGUAGAGAGAUCAUAGGACAUAUAUUUAUACUAAAAAAACACUAAAAGGUCUGGUAAAAGCUCUCCUAGAAAAACAAAAUCCAAAACGAUAUUGGACACAAACUAAGAAACAAUUCUUCUUGACUUGGGAGAACAUGUGAUCCAUCUUUCAUGCUAGAUCUGGGGUCGUUCCAGCUUCAUUUAUGUGGAAUUCUGAAAAAUAGGAAACUUAUAGCUCUAUGUCUAGGCAUAUAAGGCACGACACUUGAAAAAUUAGAAAAGCCUUCAAAUCUUCAUUCUCCCAUAGUUGCACAAUUUUACUGAGAAUGUAACUUUUACGGGAUUGAUUUGCAGAACUGGAAUGUUUGACUUCAUGAAAAAACGUGAAAGUUGAACACAACUAUCUUAAUCCUCUUAGCUUCCUUCCAAUUGACUAUAAAAAAUUCUCCGAUAAGUCUAUUUAUAAAGAAAAAAAUAUCAUAAGUGCACAAAUUGACUAAAUUAAUAAAAAGAAUUUAAAAGACUCUAUAAAGACCAAUUCCUAACGAAUCCUUAAAAAAUAUGAAGGCAUUAUUGGGAGGACAUACUUCUCAUAAAAAAAUAGUCAACCAAAUUUUAACAACAUGAAUAUUUAUACCCUCGAAAAUAACCAUUCUAUUUCCAACGAUAAUAUCGUUUAUCGUUAAGAUGAUCGGGGCCAAGCCUUCCUACCAACUAAAGUACAAUUCGAGCGGCCAUUGGGACUAUUUUUUAAUGCAUUAUGUGUGUCGAAAAAAAAAUUCAUUUCCUUUGACAUGUUUUUUUCUUGUAGUGUAAGGCAAUGUAAGUUUCAAGAACAAAGGCACAGAUGAAAUGUGUUUAACAACCUAACUUAAACUUUUGAUAACUAUAUUUUAUUGAUGUUGUUUGCAUGCGUCGUUUAUUUGGCCUAGGUUUGGAGUAACGACAGAAUAAAAUCUUGUAUGCACAAAGUCGUUUUGAAGGAAACUAAGGUAAGAUACUCGUUCGGACAAUUCUUUUGGAACAAAGGAGUGAUAUAUGUACCGAAUGAGCUUACGGACGAGGACCACCCCAUGCAGUAUAAGCCAAUAGACCUAGUGGAAUAUCUUCAAUAUUAUUAUGAAAAUAUGCACACCGUGGGAUUUGAUUUUUCGGUCAAGGACUAUUGUGGGAAGCAUGACGCCACAAGCAUGAGUUUGAAAGGAGGUGUAGGAAAAUAAUAAUGGAAAGUUUCAUGUACUUAGAUUCACUUUUUCUCGUGGGUUUAGCCUUUGCUUAUUCAAUAAGACGUGUAUCUUGUUCUCUAUAAAUACUUCCAUACGAAGUCUAUCGGAGUUGAACCGAGGUUGUAUUCGUAUCAAAUAAUUAUACUUUGGUAUGCUAGAUUUGUUGUGCUAGGAUAACACCAAACCCGUUGGAACCAACUCAAGCUAACCCACAGGAAAUUUAUCAAAUGAAAUGCAAGAACAAAAUAUUAAAGACACCAAGAUUUUAACGAGGUUCCUCAACAGUCAGUGUAACUGGAGUACGUCCUCGGAGCAGUAGGAGCUCACCCAAUAAUCCACUAUCAACCAAAUGGGAGUUUACAAAGUGUUGGCAAUCUCACAACCCAAAUAACCCAAUACACCCAAUAGCUCUCACACACCACAGAAACAAAUAGAGAAAGAAAUAUAAUGUAUAAUUUCUUCUCUAUACAUAUAGCUCAAAGCUAUUACAACAAUACCUAUUUUUGAUGGAUGAUUGCUAACAAAAGGAAGAGCACUUUCUUCUUCUCUUCAACGAAGGGUUGCUGCACCCUUUCUAUUUUUCUGAUGCACUCCUUUUCUCUGCAGCUCUCUACUCACUCUUCUCUCUUCUGCUCUAAUCUGAAAUUGAGCUCUCCUUUUCUUCUCUAUCUACCGAAACAAAACAAUGACUUAUUAUUUAAACCAAGCCAUCACUUUCGGCUAAUAAAAAACCACAAAAGAAGAAAAAACAUCAUCAUGAUGCCUCCUCAUCAUGAUGUCUUUAUAAUUUUAUAACCAAAAGUUUUUUCUUUUCCUUUUUUUAAUAGCCGAAAGUAAUUGUUGUUUGGCCAUAAUUUAACAAUCUCCACCUUGGCCAAAUUUCGAAAACACCAUGAUAAGCCAACCAACACAAUCAACACAAAAAAAUCACUCCCAAACACUAGUACGAGAACAACUCAUACCGAGCCAAAUGCUCCAAAACUCCUACUGCUCAACGCCUUCUUUAUAUAGGCAUAAUGUGAGCCAAGUUCAAACAGUGAACAAACUUGGCUACAGCAACCUUAGUCAACAUAUCAGCGGGGUUGUCUUUAGUUGGAAUCUUCUGGAGAAUGAUUUCCCCUUCACCAACAAUUUCACGAACAAAGUGAUAACGCACAUCUAUGUGCUUGGUCCUCGCAUGAUGAACCUGAUACUUAGCCAAAUAAAUGGCACUCUGACUAUCACAAUGUACCUCCACCUGCUUCUGAUCAACCCCCAAAUCUCUAAUCAGCCCAUGUAUCCAAAUGGCCUCCUUUAUAGCUUCAGCAACUGCCAUAUAUUCAGCCUCUGUAGUAGACAAGGCAACAGACAACUGCAAAAUGGACCUCCAACAAACUGGUCCUUUAGCCAUAGUAAACACAUAGCCUGUAGUAGACUUCCUUCCAUCUAGAUCACCUGCAUAAUCUGAAUCAACAUAACCAACUGCAAAAUGACUAAUACUAGAGUCAUCCCUCUCAAAGCAUAAACCAACAUCUCGAGUACCAUGGAGAUAUCUCAAUAUCCACUUAGCUGCUUGCCAAUGCUCUUUACCUGGAUUAUGCAUAUAUCGACUCACCAUGCCAACUGCAUGAGCAAUAUCCGGUCUAGAGCAUACCAUUGCAUACAUCAAACUACCAACCAAAUUUGCAUAUGGUAUAUUUUUCAUUUGCAGCUUCUCUUUAUCAGUUUUAGGACACUGUAGAGAACUCAAUUUAAAAUGAGGAGCCAAAGGGGUACUAACCGGUUUGGUUGAAUCAUGAACUCCAAACUUCCGAAUCAACUUCUCAAGGUAUUGUCUUUGAUUCAAACUGACGAAACCCUUUGCUCUAUCUCUAGUGAUCUCCAUGCCAAGGAUCUUCUUCGCUUCACCAAGAUCCUUCAUCUCAAACUCAUUCUUCAUUUGCUUCUUCAAUUUCUCAAUCUCUUCGACAUUCUUUGAGGCAAUCAACAUAUCAUCAACAUAUAUCAAUAAAUAAAUGAAAGACCCAUCUUGCAACUUCUUGAAGUACACACAAUGAUCAUAUUGACUUCUAGAAUAAUUUUGGCCUCUCAUAAAUUUAUCAAACCUCAAAUACCAUUGUCUUGGAGAUUGCUUCAAGCCAUAAAGUGAUUUCUUCAAUUUGCAAAACAAAUUCUCCUUCCCUUUCACUACAUACCCAUCCGGUUGACACAUAUAAAUCUCUUCAUUCAAAUCACCAUGUAGGAAAGCCGUCUUCACAUCAAGUUGCACAAGCUCAAGAUCAUAUUGUGCAACAAGAGCUAACAUAAUACGAAUUGAGGAGUGUUUCACAACUGGAGAAAAUAUUUCAUUGUAGUCAAUGCCCUCCUUUUGUGCAUACCCUUUAGCAACUAAUCUUGCUUUAAAUCUCACAUUGCUUUUCUCAUCAGCAUCUUCCUUCUUGGCAUACACCUAUUUGCAACCAAUAGCUUUCUUGCCCUUAGGCAAUUUAGCUAACUCCCAAGUCUUGUUCUUCAAGAGAGAAUUCAUCUCAUCACCCAUGUCAUUGCACCACCUAUUCUUCUCCUCACUCUCAAUAGCUUCCUCAAAAUUGGAUGGAAUCUCUUCAGUGAUAAUAGGAAGAGCAAAAGCAACAUAAUCACUAUAACGAGCUGGCUUAGUAAUUUGUCUCUUUCCUCUGUUCUUGGCAAUAGACUCUUGAGGUGAAACUUGCUCUUCAACUUGAAUAGAAUCUUCAAGUUCAACUUCUUCAUCCUCAUGGUCUCCCACUUCUUCACUUGUAGUGGCUUCGACAUCAGCGGAAAUAGGAUUUGAAGUACCAGAGGCAACUUUCUCAAGCUCCACCUGUUGGACAUCUUUCACAUUCUUCUCAGAGACUUUGUACAUACUUUCUUCGUCAAAUGUCACAUCUCUACUAAUUACCAGUUUCUUCAUCUCUGGACACCACAACCUGUAACCUUUGACACCACUACUAAAACCAAGAAAAAUAGCCUUUUUGGCUCUAGGAUCAAGUUUAUUUUCAGUCACAUGAAAAUAAGCAGGUGAACCAAAAAUACGGAUAUAGUCAUAAUCAGAAGAAGGUUUUCCAAUCCAUACCUCCAUUGGUGUCUUACCCUGAACAGCAGCUGAGGGUAACCGAUUGAUGAUGUGACAUGCAUAAUUAACUGCUUCUGCCCAAAAUGACUUGCUUAAACCCGACUGAGACAACAUACAUCUAACCUUCUCAAGCAAGGUUCGAUUCAAUCUUUCUGCAACUCCAUUUUGUUGUGGAGUUCCCCGAACACUGAAAUGUCUCACAAUUCCUUCCUCUUUGCAAACUUUAAAGAAAGGAUCGGAUGUGUAUUCACCACCAUUAUCCGAUCUCAAAAUCUUAAUCUUUCUCCCAGUCUGGUUCUCAACCAUUUUCUUCCAACUCAAGAAAAUGCUCAAUACCUCACUCUUGUGCUUCAUAGUGUAAACCCAAGACCUUCUUGAAUAAUCAUCAACAAAGGUCACGAACCAAUGUCUACCACUCAAAGAGGGAGUCUUUGUAGGACCCCAAACAUCCGAAUGCACAUAAUCAAGAAUGCCCUUUGUCUGAUGUACAGCAGUACCAAACUUCACUUUAGUUUGCUUCCCCAAGACACAAUGCUCGCAGAAAUCAAGCUUACAAGUCGUGGCACCUUUUAGAAGACCUUUUUCACAAGCCCUUGUAGAGCUUUCUCACCGGCAUGGCCUAAUCUCAUAUGCCACAAUCUAGUAGUAUCUGAAUCAGAUGUGCCCAUAUUUUCAGAGACUACAGAUGCUUCACCUGUCACAGUGCUUCCCUGCAAUAAAUACAAAUGGCCACAUCUAGGAGCUUUCAUCACAACAAGUGCACCAUAAGUAACUUUCAAUGUCUGUCCAUCUGAAUGAAACCUGAAACCCUUAGAUUCCAAAGUACCCAAAGAAAUAAGAUUUUUCUUCAAAUUCGGUACAUACCGAACACCUGUCAACUCUUUAACCAUGCCAUCAUGCAACUUCAAACGAACUGUACCAAUCCCUUUUGUUGUGCAAGGAUUGUCAUCUCCCAUGAACACAACGCCACCAUCAAACUCUUUCAAGCUUGAAAACCAAUCCUUAUGAGGAGUCAUAUGAUGAGUACAACCCGUAUCCAACACCCACUUAGUAGCACAAUCAAAUGAUGAGGAAGUGGUUAAAGCAAAAUCAGAAAAAUCUGUUUCAACCUCAGCAACAUUAGCUUCAGAACUUUCUUUGCCUUUGGUCUUCAAUUUUGGACAAUCUUUCUUCCAAUGGCCCUUAUUACGACAAAAGGCACAUUCAUCCAUUUCCAAAGGUUUUCUACCUUUAGAGUUUCCUCUAGGUCGAGACUGUGAUUUUUUCCUACUAGAAGAUGACUUCCUCUCCGAUGAUCUACCUCUAACAAAUAAAGCUUCAGAGGUACUAUCAUGAUUUUUAUCUCUAUGCCUCAUUUCAUAAUUCAUCAAGGCAUUUGACACAUCUUCAAAUUUCACAGUUUCUUUACCAUGCAUAAUAGUGGUAACAAAAUGCUCAUAAGAGUCCGGCAAGGAAUUCAACAAUAUUAAGGCCUUAUCUUCAUCCUUAAUAUCCUCAUCUAAAUUUAACAAGUCGGCAAUCAACUUAUUAAAAGCAUCAAGGUGUCUAAUCAUUUUUGUACCUUCUUUGUAUUGGAAGCGGUAGAGCUUUUUCUUCAAGUGUAGCCGGUUCUCUGCAUUCUUCGUCAUAUACUUGUCUUCCAAUUUUUGCCACAACACACUUGCUACCGUCUCCCGCAUCACAAAAUACUUCUGAGUUUUUGCAAGGCACAACCGAAUUGAAGAGCAAGCCCACAAAUUUAAUUUCUCCCAUUCCGACUUCGACAUAGCUUCCGGCUUCUCUCCCAAAGCGGCAAGUAGAUCUUGUUGAGCCAACACAUCUUUGACCUCACAUUGCCACAUCCCGAAGUUGUUUGUGCCAUCAAACUUUUCCACUUCGAACUUUGCAUUUUGCACCGUAGUUCUUGCAAACCCGGAGCUGCUUCCAAAAGGAUUUUCAUCUUGCCCGUCUGACAUCUUUGGCAACUAGACAGUACCCAAGAGCAACUAGUGCUCUGAUACCAAUUGUUGUGCUAGGAUAACACCAAACCCGUUGGAACCAACUCAAGCUAACCCACAGGAAAUUUAUCAAAUGAAAUGCAAGAACAAAAUAUUAAAGACACCAAGAUUUUAACGAGGUUCCUCAACAGUCAGUGUAACUGGAGUACGUCCUCGGAGCAGUAGGAGCUCACCCAAUAAUCCACUAUCAACCAAAUGGGAGUUUACAAAGUGUUGGCAAUCUCACAACCCAAAUAACCCAAUACACCCAAUAGCUCUCACACACCACAGAAACAAAUAGAGAAAGAAAUAUAAUGUAUAAUUUCUUCUCUAUACAUAUAGCUCAAAGCUAUUACAACAAUACCUAUUUUUGAUGGAUGAUUGCUAACAAAAGGAAGAGCACUUUCUUCUUCUCUUCAACGAAGGGUUGCUGCACCCUUUCUAUUUUUCUGAUGCACUCCUUUUCUCUGCAGCUCUCUACUCACUCUUCUCUCUUCUGCUCUAAUCUGAAAUUGAGCUCUCCUUUUCUUCUCUAUCUACCGAAACAAAACAAUGACUUAUUAUUUAAACCAAGCCAUCACUUUCGGCUAAUAAAAAACCACAAAAGAAGAAAAAACAUCAUCAUGAUGCCUCCUCAUCAUGAUGUCUUUAUAAUUUUAUAACCAAAAGUUUUUUCUUUUCCUUUUUUUAAUAGCCGAAAGUAAUUGUUGUUUGGCCAUAAUUUAACAAGAUUCUUGCUAUGCUGUGCUGUGUUGUUUCCAAAUGGAAUCAAUCCAAAAGCCUGUUGUUUCAAAGGAGAUGGUGCUCACAUUCCCCCAAUCUCAAACUGUCGACACAACAUAACAACGAUUUAGUAUGGAAAGUGAUUUUUGCAUGCCAUUUUCACCUCCCGCACAUCCUUUAUUCAUUUCUAACCAUUGGAUUUAACAAAUAGGAGAACCAGGAGCUAAAAUUUAGAGGGGCGUGCAAAAAUUACUCCCCUUUCGGAUUCGGUCAACAUGGGUUAGUUGUCGCUCCUAUCGACUCUAGUUACCAACCAUGGAUUAAUUAGAAUUAGAUGCCUCAUUUUAGAUUGUUCUAAAUUAAACAUCUGUUACUUUUCAACUUUUGAUUAAAGUGCUUUUACUUUUAAUUAAACUUUAUAUUCCAGGUAUAUUCUUAAUUUAAGUAUUUUAUAAAUUCUUUUAAAUCCAUUUCUAUGUAAAAAAAAUGCACUCAAUAAUAUUCAUUAAUUUAUUACCAUUUUUAUGGAAUCUCAUCCCUUCCUCAAUUUAAGGAUUCAAUUAUAUCUACUGGGGUUCAAGAUUAAUUGGAUGAAAUAUAGUUUUUCCAAUUUCCAACUCAACAUUUUAUAUAGAUUAUAAAAAAACAAGAGUUCGUUUAUAAUUAAAAUUGAGAUGUAGACUAGACUGCCUAAUUUCAUGCAACUGAAAAUAAAUUUGAAUUUUUUAACAACUACUUAUAGUAGAAACGUGAACCAAGAGUUUUCACAUUUUUAUUUUUAUUUAAAAUGAGUCUUUAUUCCAAUAAUUAAUUAUUAAGAGUUGACGCAAUGUUUUAAUGUGAAAAGUUAUAUUUUUUUUGGGUUACACAACUUACACAUAACGUACCAUAAGUUUUGUACGUACCAAAAUAUGGAUAAUACAACGUACUAAUAACUUGGUACAUACUAAAUAAAGAAUUGCAUAACGUACCAAAAGCAAGAUUUUAUAACAUACCAAAAUACUAAUACAUACCCAGAUUAAAUUUAUAUAACGUACCAACAACGUGGUACGUUAUAUUUAAUAUAUCUGUUUGGUACGUUAUAUUUCAUAUAUGUGCAUGUUAUAUUUCAUAAUUGUAUGUUAAUAGGAUGUUUAUGUAUUUUAAGAAUUUAAAACAACAAAUUAUUUGAAUAAGAAAAAUUCAUUUUGAACGAAGUAUGAUAAGAUAAGAUAGGAAGUUUGUGAUGAUUUUAGAACAUUUGUGAUAUUAUUUUCUGAACUAGUUAGUUAAUUAAAUACAAUAAAAAUCAUAAUUUUUAAUUAAAAAUUAGUAGAAGAAUGUUUGAUCAAAAGUUUAAAAGUUAUAGAUGUUUGAUUAAAAAAAUUCAAAUUUGAGGCAUCUAUAUCAAAAUGCCCCAAAACAUAAAUUAACCGUACUCAAGUCCCAACUGAAAAUUAGUACAUAUCAAAACACAUUUCUUAAAUAACACAAAAGUAACCUUGUUACUAUAACUGCUGAAAAUCGAAAGCGCCAAUUUUACCGUUGGCAAUUUGAUUCUGCAAGCAAUAACUUGACAACGCUGCGUUACACAUGACGAUAUACUAUGGGUAUGCAUCAUCUUCACUAAUUCUGUGAGGGGAAAGGCGAAAUUUUCAAACCUAUGGAAACCCGACAGCGGACAACCAUGAUACUCAAACAAAUAAUAAAAUCACGCACAUAAAAGUAUCAAAGAAUGCACACGAACGCUCCAAGCAGACCGGAGAAUGGAAAGAAGAUUCGGGGGGAAAAAGAUACCACAGGAAAAUAAGGAAGAAGAAGAAAAAGCAGUAUCACCAGCCUUGAAAAAUGGAGGUGGUAAUAGGAGGAGGAUCACCUGUAAGAAUGAACAAAAACACGUAUAGAAGGUUAAUGCAAUUUGCAAAUUAGGCUUCAAAGCCUCAUAGGGCAUUUGCUACUUUUCUCACCCUAGGUCGCAGGCAUUACCUUAUAGAACGAUGUCCUCCUCCAAGACUUCAGCCAACCCAUCUAUAAAACCUGGGAACAACACACCACCGUCUUUGAAUUGGAAAAGAAUCUCAGCAAAAAAGGCGGGUAGAAACUAUUGGUGAGGAAUCACAAUCCACAGGCCCAAUCGAACAGCUUCCUGGAGCAAAUGCAACGAGAAGGCAAGUCACUGGCUCACCCCGAAUCAGCUUUUCGGGACAAAUGCAGCUAGGGCAUUUGCAUAAGCAGGGGAGAGGUUACUCAAAAGGGGCUGCAUUUGUUGGCCAUAGAGUGAAAUCAGGUGAGCAAAAGCUCUUCCGAUUUGUGCUUUUACUUCAGGAGUUUCAACUGGUGAUGCCACAACUUGAGCAAAUACAUUAACCAGAUCUGGGACUAGAGA
This 83935-nucleotide long non-coding RNA is filed under the name Malus domestica (apple). Lineage: Eukaryota; Viridiplantae; Streptophyta; Magnoliopsida; Rosales; Rosaceae. The record is from RNAcentral.